RNAcentral lists this long non-coding RNA (49175 nucleotides) under Zea mays. Its description in RNAcentral is "long non-coding RNA (ZMAY_LNC002145)". Lineage: Eukaryota; Viridiplantae; Streptophyta; Magnoliopsida; Poales; Poaceae. The record is from RNAcentral.
AAAUGCGUUCAUUAUUCCACAAUGCUCACUUGCUCCUAGUGCCAUUAUUCCACAGUUCCUCCCACCAGUUACUUCAAUGGGCUUCGAACACCCAGUUGUGCAAGCCUACAGGCUACAACAAGCGCUUGCGGCGAGCGUCUUACAACAACCAAUUGCCCAAUUACAACAACAAUCCUUGGCACAUCUAACAAUACAAACCAUCGCAACGCAACAGCAACAACAGUUCCUACCAACACUGAGCCACCUAGCCAUGGUGAACCCUGCCGCCUACUUGCAACAACAACUGCUUGCAUCCAACCCAAUUGCUCUGGCAAAUGUAGUUGCAAACCAGCAACAACAACAACUGCAAUAGUUUCUGCCAGUGCUCAGUCAACUAGCCAUGGUGAACCCUGCCGCCUACCUACAACAGCAACAACUGCUUUCAUCUAGCCCGCUCGCUAUGGCCAAUGCACCUACAUACCUGCAACAACAAUUGUUGCAACAUAUUGUACCAGCUCUGACUCAGCUAGCUAUGGCAAACCCUGCUGUCUACUUGCAACAGCUGCUUCCAUUCAACCAACUGACUGUGUCGAACUCUGCUACGUACCUACAACAUCGACAACACUUACUUAAUCCAUUGGCAGUGGCUAACCCAUUGGUCGUUGCCUUCCAACAGCAGCAACAAUUGCUGCCAUACAACCAGUUCUCUUUGAUGAACCAUGUCUUGUCGAGGCAGCAACCCAUCGUUGGAGGUGCCAUCUUUUAGAUUACAUAUGAGAUGUACUCGAUAAUGGUGCCCUCAUACCGGCAUGUGUUUCCUAGAAGUAAUCAAUAUAUUGAUUGAGAUUUAUCUCGAUAUAUUUCUGAACUAUGUCCAUCAUAUAAAUAAUUGAAAACAUCAAAUCGUAAUUAUAAACUCAUGCUUGGUCAAUACAUAGACAAUGCGAUAUUACUUCAACAUCCCAAUGAUGUCCUAGCCCAACCUCUUGAAUGUUACUGUUUUAACGCGUGAGGGUAUAUUUAUAAGAUAGACGUGACUAUUUGCGCUUUUUUUUAGUACAUACAUAUAUGGUAUGUUGAUUUGAUAUAGUGAUGGACACAUGCUUUGACCAUGAAUAUUUAAAUCAGUUGUACUUGCAUGAAGCAAAACAUAAUAUAAGUUUAGGAGUACACUUAUAACUGUGUCCAAUCAUGCUCACACAAAUUCAUACCACAUUAUAAUUUUUUGGUAAAUAUUCCACACAUGUAUUUUUUACAAGAACCCAAAUAUUGCAGACAAAUGCAGCAUUGUAGACAUGUAGAAUUAUUCGAAGCACGUGAACUUAACAACACCAAGGUCAUUAAGUCAACUGGACCCUAUGAGUAACAAUUUCGAUAUUGCAAACACCAAAUUAUAGAACUUAUUGGCUGAAAAUUUAUGAGCAAUGUGAACUUUAAAUUAUUAUACCAUAAAUAUAUCAAAUAAUUUUUUUUUGAGGAACGUAAAAAUUGCAUGGAAUGGGCUGCCCAACGUGCUAGCUCACUUCUAUGCUAGUUAGCAUUACCAAAGAUGGGAAUGUUGCUGAUGAACGCCAAACCCACUCAAAUAAUAUUUAUAGUUGGGUUGUUUAGUUGUAAAAGUGAAGACCCAAGAUAAAAGUACCAAUUGUCCAAUGACAUUCGAUUAUUUUGUUCGGGGAGCACUUGGUGCGUCAUUUGGACUCGUAUCUUAGUCCAAUAGAUUGCAUUUUCCUUCAAUGUGUAGAAUCCGACAAAGUGCAUGUUCUAAAAUUGUAAAUCUAACUAAAUUAGAAAGCUUGUUACUAAUUUGAUGGUUUAUUAGGUGUAGCUCAUAAAACUAGAACCAACAUAGCCUGCACUCACAUGUCAUAGAAAAUAGGACUAUCCAAGCACAAUUUGUGUGAGCAUCCAUGACACAAAUUAUAUAUAGUCUGAUAUAAUUAAUUCCUUCAAAAUAAAAAAGGAAAAAAUAAAGUGGUUUUUGAUACUGCAGGAUAUCUCCUUUAGCUAAUGAGGAGUACUAAAAAGUUGUUGCACUUUUGGGUGGCGAGAAUUCCUCAAUCAUAACUUUGACAUAAUUUUAAUCCAGAUCACAUAUAUAGCAUCAUAUCUUAAUUAUUAAAUUAUUAUGGUUCCAUCAUCGUAUUAUUAAUUCAAUAUGAUAUAACCAUCAAAUCUUAAUUAUUAAAUUAAUCUGGAGCGUACAUUAGAUUAUCAAACCAAAUCAACCCGACAUAACCAUCGAAUGUUCCGCUAUGCACCUUAAGCACAUGGUCUGGGGCUUAAUCAUCCGGAAUAACCAUCCGAUCUUCUAGUAAGCAUAGUAAGCGUAUGGUUCACGACUUCGUUAUCCGGAAUAACCAUCAGAUUUUCCAGUAUGCACUGAAAGCAAAUGAUCCGGGGUUUUGGUAGGUGAAACAUUGUUAGGUGAAUGCGGAUGCUGGCUGCUGUUGCACGUGUGAACUGCUGUGUGGAAGCUGCUGGGUCCUCCUCUAUUGUGUGUGGUUUGUGGCGGGCUUCGAAUGCUCUCAUGGCUUCGGUGCUUGGAACUGCUCGUACGUCCGGUCCUGCGUGCAUCUCUCUCUCCUGGCUGGAGGCGUGGUGGUGUGGCGGCUUGUCUGUGUUUUUCUUUUUACGGCGGCUUCUCGUGUUGGCUAGUGUUGGCGUCAGGGGCCCGGUCAGCUAUGCUCCCUCAGUUUUAUAGGCAGUGCACCACAGCAGGCAGAGCAGAGAUAAAGAUUCCAACUGCAUCCAUCUACAAACAAGGCUCUCGGCAGAAGGGAUAAAAGCAUGGAGCGCAAUUGUCGCUGCCCUGCUGCAGCCUUGACUCUCGUCAAUUGGAUGACCAAAAGAUGCCACCGUCUAAGCUCUUUUCUAUGUGCAGCUGCCUGUUUGUCACCAACACAAAAUAGUAGGUGCCUGUUUGACACCAAUUAUCCUCUACCACAAAGAACUACAAUAGUGAUGGAGGAUCCGAUCCGGCACAGAUCCACUAUAAUGCAUAUUGGGUGAUGCAUGCCUAAUGGUGGUUGUUUAGUGUUAGUUUGGGCAUGUUGGAACUAAGCAAUUGACGAUGCCAUACACUAGAAGUGAAGAAUGUUGUUAGCGUUAGGAGUUGAGGUGUCAAUGGGGACCAAUACCCGUUAAGCCAUGGAGAAUUUCUCUAUUAGAUUUAGGGUAUGGGAAAAAUUUUAUUUCCAUUUGCUGAUGUUAGGUAUACAUCUAUUUGAAUCAACAGUUACAGUUCAACAGAAACUCCUUCCGCUCUAGUUUGUUUCAUGUCCUAACUUUUUCCUAAACUAGUUUUUCCUAAAUUGACAUACUCUCUACAAAAUCUAUCCAAAUUUUGAAGAUCAAAUCUGUUCCAUUGAAUUAUUCAUGACAUAUAUCUUGGUAUUGCUUUUUGUCAUCAGAAUAUAUUUCGAACUCAGUAAAAGUUAUACACGAUUUUUUAGACAAUACUAAAGCAAGUUGUAAUCAAGAACACUUGAGGUGUGCGCCAAUUGCCACAUUUAGAUAUAAUCAUUCUAAUUUUGGUCAUCCUAUGUGUGUGCAUUCAUCUAUGCAUUCUAGGAUUUCAAUUAGUCUCAAUCUUGUAGUAUUUUUUCCUUCAUUGUCAAAUCACUUCUCAUCUAACUACUAUGCUUGUUUAACCAUUAGAACAUAAGUACAACAAUAUCCAUUUAGAAAGUUUUUGAUAGCAAACUUUACAUAUUCAUAUCAUGUUAAGGUUGUCACAUGUGUAAAGGUGAAGCGAUCAUGCAUGUCAUUCCACAUAGAUUAAAAAAAAUCCUAUAUAAAAAUGACAAUUUUUCUUGUAGGUAGUGGAAAGUAUCUUUCCAGCAAAGACUAUAUAUAUAAUCCGAUAAAGCCGAUAACUAAAUGUCAAAAUCGAGUAGAUGCCAUAUCAUCUAUACCUUAUCUGUUGUUUGGAAAAAAGACAAAAUCCAAAAAAAUAUAUAUGAGAUCUCACUUGUAUAAAUAGCUCCCAAAUCAGUAGUUAAUCCAUCACCUAUAAUAUUUUGAGCAUUCAGAAACACACCUAGGGAAGCGCACUAGCAACGACCUAACAACAAUGGCUACCAAGAUAUUAUCCCUCCUUGCGCUUCUUGCCCUUUUUGUGAGCGCAACAAAUGUGUUCAUUAUUCCACAAUGCUCACUUGCUCCUAGUGCCAUUAUUCCAAAGUUCCUCCCACCAGUUACUUCAAUGGGCUUCGAACACCCAGCUGUGCAAGCCUACAGGCUACAACAAGCGCUUGCGGCGAGCGUCUUACAACAACCAAUUGCCCAAUUACAACAACAAUCCUUGGCACAUCUAACAAUACAAACCAUCGCAACGCAACAGCAACAACAGUUCCUACCAGCACUGAGCCACCUAGCCAUGGUGAACCCUGCCGCCUACUUGCAACAACAACUGCUUGCAUCCAACGCACUUGCUCUGGCAAACGUAGUUGCAAACCAGCAACAACAAUAGCUGCAACUAUUUCUGCCAGCGCUCAGUCAACUAGCCAUGGUGAACCCUGCCGCCUACCUACAACAGCAACAACUGCUUUCAUCUAGCCCGCUUGCUGUGGCCAAUGCACCUACAUACCUACAACAACAAUUGUUGCAACAUAUUGUACCAGCUCUGACUCAGCUAGUUGUGGCAAACCCUGCUGCCUACUUGCAACAGCUGCUUCCAUUCAACCAACUGACUGUGUCGAACUCUGCUGCGUACCUACAACAGCGACAACAGUUACUUAAUCCACUUGCAGUGGCUAACCCAUUGGUCGCUGCCUUCCUACAUGUCACACCCGGUUUUAAAAAGGCAAACCGAAUGCGAACCAUGUACGUGCCAGGAUCAGUUAUUCACGUACACAGCAGUUACAUAAUAUGGACAUCAUCACACAGUGCUCAAAAUAGUAUUAAUAAGGGAAAUAGUAGAUUACAUCAUACGUCUGAGACGUCCAUAUAGUUCUUACAAUAAAUCAAAGUGCGGAAAAGAAACGUAGAUAACGCGGCCUUCACAGGCAGCCGACUGGGGGUUGCCGCUAACCCACACCUAGAACUCGUCGUAAUCUUGGAACUCCUGGAAGUCUCCUUCCACAGCUUCAUCUUCGCCUGAGCAGUGGUUGCAAUGCUGACAACCUGGGGGGGGGGGGGUUUGGUGUGUAGAGCAAGGGUGAGUACACAUCAACAUACUCAGCAAGUAUCCUGUUUGGCUGUAGUGGACUAGCUUUAUGUGGGGAUAAGUCAAGCAGUUGCUUUUAGUUGGUCAGGUUAUUACUUACUAGUAGAAAGCCAAGUUUUAGCAUUAACCCAAGUUAUUAACCCAAUGUAUCCUUUCCAAACGGAAAGAAUACCACUUACCAGCACCAUAACCAUAACCAGAACCAUCAAUCUCAUAACCACCUGUACCACAAUGUCUCUGAUCAAGUACCACUAAUCAUUGGAGCUCCCUUGGCCGCUCAUAACCGCGAGCACGGCUGAUAUAUCAGUUUCAUAACACUCUGCAGAGGUUGUGCACUUUACCCACAAGCCGUGAUUCCCAUUCUGCCCGGAGAUCAUGACUCUCCAUUGAUCACUACCAAGGUGAUCCAGCAGGGCAUCACUACGAAGCCUUUACAAAGAUUCCCCGGGACUGCAGCCACCCGUUAGGUUUCCUAAAUGCACCGCACUCCUCCCCAAGGGGCGAACCCAAACUUGGCAGAGCGAGCCGCAUACACCGAGCCCCAUUGACGGCACGACGGCUAAGUGAACUACACCCCGGAUCCUCUAAUUAUUCAGCUAAGGGCACCCCAUUCCACCCUCAUGGUUGCACUGUUUUCCCGGGCGGUCAUCCAUAGAACAGGUCCUUACGGAGAGGCACUCGAGAAACCGCUCGAGUCCCCUUGAAAACCACAAGUAUAAUCAUAAAGAAGAACGGGAAAACAGCGUAUCAUAGAUAAUCACAUCAUGUUCAUUGAUUAGAGUUGAGCAAUAGCAUCAGACUAAGUAGUAAUAAUCCGACCCAAAUAGGUAAACAAGGACAUGGAUAACAAAAGCUAGUCAAUCCUUAGGUAUAAAUGUGUAAUGCGGGAGGUGAAUUAAAGAAUGAAUAGGACAUAGAUAGGUCAAAGGACACUUGCCUCCACCAAACGACUGCUGCUCAGGGGCUUCUCCUGCGAAUUCCUCGGGCUCUUCGACUGGAUCGUUCUCUAUGCGAGCGCAAACAUACAUACAUACAUCCACAUAUUUAAUACAAAAGAACAGUACACCAUACAAGAUAACAAAUAAAGCGAAUAUGCAUCAAGUAUGACAUUCGAUAACGCAUUUGUUAUGGUCAGAAAGAAACGGGAAAGGUCUCGCAGGGGGGGUUAAAUCUUAUGCACUAACGAUCAAUUACAAUUGGUUUUUAACAAAAUAAUUCUGCUACAUAUACACUAAUGGAAACCUAAUCACUUUUAGUUGAUCAACAUUGCACAGGGUAAACAAUUAACUACGUGCGUCAAUAGCAUAACGGAAUUUUAAAUUAAACUUCCUAUUUUCCCAUAGCAUGAACAGUGAUUAGCCUACUUAAAAUACAGUAAUUAUGAUCACAGAAAGUAAAUAAAAUAAAAUAAAAAAAAAUAAAAAAAAAAACAGAGGGGGGGGCGGUUGAACCGGCCCUAGGGCGGUUGAACCGGCCCUAGGCGGGGCGCGGGCGCGGGCGGCGCAGGGGGCGGCCGAACCGGGGGGCGGGGGGCGGCGCAGGGGGCGGCCGAGCCGGGGGGCGGGGCGGCCGAACCGGCGGGGCAGGGGGGCGGGUAGGGGGCGGCCGAGCCGGGGGGCGGGGCGGCCGAACCGGCGGGCAGGGAGGCGGCCGAACCGGCCAUGGGGAGAGGGGAUGGGGGAGGGAGGAGAGGGGGAGGGGGAAGCUCACCGGCGACGGGGACGGGGCGGCCGAGCGGGGCGGCCGAACGGCGACGGGGAGGGGCGGCGGCCUAGGCAGGGGCGGCGGCUAGGGCAGGGGGCGGGUAGGGGGCGGCGGCUUGGGUGGGGAGGGAGAAAAUGAGGGGGGAGAGGGAGAGGGUUAGGGGAUAAGGGAAAGAGGGGGGGGGCGGCUGGGCCUACUAGGCCCAAGAGGGGGGCGCCAGGGGGCGGCUGGGCCGGCCGGGGUCGGCCCACGGCGCGGGAGAGAGAGAAAAAAAAGGAGAGAGAAAGAGAGAGAGAAAAGAGAAAGAAAAGAGAAAGAAAACAUUUUCGAAAUCCGAUCUUUCUACAUGAAUGCAUUUGCACUUUCAAAGCAAUCAAAAGAAAUGCAAGGUUCGGCAUGGUGCAUCAAACAACAUAAAGUAUUUAGGGUUUUUAUACAUACGGGAAUUCCAAACCGAAUCCCGCUAGAACUUUGGAAAAGGUCAAGGUUUAGCGAGGGAAAAAGAAAAAGAAAAGGUAACGCCCGAAUUUUGGCGAGUAAAGAAAAGAAAAAAAAUUCAACUGCAAAAAUUCGGGGCGUUACAAACCUAUCCCCCUUAAAAGAAUCUCGCCCUCGAGAUUCAGGGCUGGCUAGCAAAGAGCUCCGGGUACUUGGCCUUCAGAUCAUCUUCACGCUCCCAGGUUGCUUCUUCCUCAGAGUGGUGACUCCAUCUGACUUUGCACAUUCUGACGGUCUUCCUUCGGGUGACUCUGUCUGCAAUCUCAAGGAUCUGAGCUGGCUUCUCAACGUAGGUCAAGUCCUCCUGGACUUCCAGACCUUCCACUGGCAACUGCUCUUCCGGCACACGCAAGCACUUCUUCAACUGAGACACAUGAAAGACAUCAUGCACAGCAGACAAAUUCUCUGGCAGACUGAGCUGAUAGGCCACUUCUCCACGUCUUGCAAGAAUCUGAUACGGACCAAUGUAGCGGGGUGCUAGCUUGCCUUUCACUCCGAAUCUUCUGACUCCUCUGAUCGGUGACACUUUCAGAUAGACAAAGUCUCCGACUUCGAAACUCAGCUCUCUUCUUCUUGUGUCUGCAUAGCUUCGCUGCCUUGAUUGCGCUAUCUUCAGAUUCUCUCGGACCAUCUUGACGUUCUCUUCGGCUUCGAGCAAAAUGUCUGGCCCAAACACUUGCUUUUCCCCAGGCUGAUCCCAUUGCAACGGAGUUCUGCAACUCCUUCCAUACAGCGCUUGAAAUGGUGACAUCUUCAAACUGGCCUGGUAACUGUUGUUAUAGGAAAACUCCGCAUAAGGCAAUCGCUUGUCCCAUCCGGACUGAUCUUGCAACGCACAUGCUCUCAACAUAUCUUCAAGAAUUUGAUUGGUUCUUUCGGUCUGGCCAUCUGUCUGCGGGUGGUAAGCUGAACUGAAAUUCAGAUGCGUGCCCAAGGCUUCAUGCAACUGCUGCCAGAAAUGAGAGGUGAACUGCGUUCCUCUGUCUGACACUAUCUUCUUUGGCACACCAUGAAGACAAACGAUCCGAGACAUAUACAAUUCUGCCAAUACUGCACUGUUGUAGUUGGUCUUGACAGGUAUGAAGUGGGCUGACUUGGUCAAGCGGUCCACUACUACCCAAAUGGAAUCGUAGCCGGCUCGAGUGCGAGGCAAUCCGACUAUGAAAUCCAUACCAAUUUCAUCCCAUUUCCACUGAGGGAUCUGCAACGGUUGCAACAAUCCAGCUGGUCUCUGGUGUUCUGCCUUAAUUCUUCGACAACUAUCGCACAUAGCCACAUGCUCUGCGAUUUCCCUUUUCAUUCCGUACCACCAGAAUUUCUUCUUCAGAUCCUGAUACAUCUUCUCACUGCCAGGGUGAAUCGAAUAGGCUGUCUCAUGAGCUUCCUUGAGAAUCAACUCCCGAAUAGACUGGACAUUGGGAACACACAAGCGGUCUUUGAACCAUACCACACCUUCUGCAUCUUCUCGAAAGUCUUUGCCUCUGCCAUCUAGAAUCAAUCGCCGAAUCUCACUGAUCUUCUCAUCAUUUUUCUGCGCUUCUUUGAUUUCGCGCUCCAAGGUAGGUUCCAAUUCAACUGUGACUCCUCGAGAAUUGUUUAGAAAUCCGAGACUCAACCUGUCAAACUCCUUGGCCAACUCAUAAGGCAUCGGACGAGCGACCAUCAGAUUGACUUGACUCUUUCUGCUCAAAGCAUCUGCCACUACGUUUGCUUUGCCUGGAUGGUAAUGAAUCUCCAACUCAUAGUCUUUGAUCAAUUCUAACCAUCUUCGUUGCCUCAUGUUCAAUUCUGAUUGAGUGAAUAUGUACUUCAGACUCUUGUGGUCUGUGUAAACAUCGCAUUUCUGUCCAUACAGAUAGUGCCUCCAUGUCUUCAGUGCGUGAACCACUGCUGCCAACUCUAGAUCAUGGAUGGGGUAGUUCUUCUCAUGAACCUUCAGCUGUCGGGACGAGUAAGCCACAACUCUUCCCUCUUGCAUCAACACACAUCCCAAACCUGUGUAACAAGCAUCACAAUACACCGAGAAGGGCUUGUGCACAUCAGGCAAGACUAGGACAGGCGCUGUUGUCAACUUCUCUUUCAGCGCUUCAAAGGCCUCUUGGCAUUUCUGGGUCCACUUGAACUCAACCUUGUUGCCUAGCAACGCUGUCAUUGGCUUCGCAAUCUUCGAAAACCCUUUAAUGAAUCGCCGAUAAUAUCCGGCCAUUCCAAUGAAGCUCUUGAUUCCUCUAGCAUCUGUUGGUGCUUUCCAGUUCAGAAUGUCUGCCACUUUCUUCGGAUCCACAGUCAAUCCUUCUUUGUUGAUUAUGUGACCCAAGAACAGGACUUCACUGAUCCAGAACUCACACUUGCUCAACUUUGCAUACAACUGGUGCUCUCGCAAUCUCUGCAACACCAUCCUCAAAUGAUCUGCAUGCUCUUCUUCACUUUGAGAAUAAACCAGAAUGUCAUCAAUGAAUACCACCACGAACUUAUCAAGAUAAUCCAUGAAUACACUGUUCAUCAAGUUCAUAAAGAAUGCUGGCGCAUUGGUCAAACCAAAAGACAUCACUGUGAACUCAUAUAAACCAUACUUGGUAAUGAAUGCCGUCUUCGGAAUGUCCGAAGGUCGGAUCCUGAGCUGAUGAUAACCUGACCUCAGAUCGAUCUUGGAGAACACACUGGCUCCUCUCAACUGGUCGAACAGAUCUUCUAUUCUGGGCAAAGGAUACUUGUUCUUGAUCGUGACCUCAUUCAAAGCUCGAUAGUCGAUACACAUCCUCUUGGUACCAUCUUUCUUCUCCACAAACAAGACAGGGGCGGCCCAAGGCGAGGUGCUUGGCCGGAUGUAACCUUUUUCUGACAGCUCAUCAAUCUGCUUCUUAAGCUCAUCCAACUCUGGUCCAGAUAUUCUGUAAGCUCUCUUGAAGAUAGGGGCGGUUCCAGGAAGAAGCUCUAUGGCAAAUUCAACUUUCCGCUCUGGUGGCAUACCCGGUAAAUCCUUUGGAAACACAUCUGGGAAUUCGGACACAACCUUGAUACUCUCAAUCGGGUCUGCUUCACUGCUAUCGACAGUCAUCUGAUAACAACUUCCUUUCUUUGGCUCAGGCGGGACUAACUCAGUCACCACUUCCUCUCCUAGUGGGGACACUAACUUGAUUGUCCUUUUAUCACAACUGAUAACUGCCUGAUACUUAUCUAGCCAAUUCAUCCCUAGGAUGACAUCUAUUCCCUGAGUACCCAUUACUAUAAGGUUGGCGGGAAACGCUAUCCCCCUUAUUUUCACACUUAUAUUCAAACAAAUGCUAUCGGCUCGAAUUCUACCACCGGCUGAAUCAAUUUGAAUGGGGGUUGACAUGGUAGUUAUUGGAAGUUUAUGUGCUUCUACCCAUGAUGCAGUAAUGAAAGAAUGUGUUGCUCCAGUAUCAAAUAACACUUCUGCAAUAUGGGAGUCGACUGGGAACAUACCUACUGUCAUGCCGGGGGUCUCCUGAACUGCUUCAGCUUCCAAGUGGUUCAAUCUUCCAUGAUUAUAGCGCUGCUGAGAGCGAUUGCCUGCUCCAGGCUGAGACACAUUCUGCUUUGCUGGGGCAUUGGGGCCUGACUGCUGCUGGGCUGCCUUCUUUGGACAUUGCAUCACCCAAUGGCCUUGCUCUCCACAGUGGAAACAUGCCCUGUUUCCAACCUGAGCUGGUGCUGCCUGACUGUUCUGCUGAUUUGCUGGGGCAGGAAGACGAGGUGCUUGCUGAUUCUGCCUUUGAAACUGACCUCCUGACUGAUUGCUCUGACGGUUCUGGUACUGAUUCUGAGGGUACUGCCUUUGGAACUGCUGAUACUGCUGACGCUGCUGAUGCUGCUGAGGUGGACGCUGGUUCUGCCUGAACUGCUGAGGUUGAUUGCCUGAAAAGCGAGGGCGACUGCUGCUUCCAGACUGCGGUCCACUGAUCUUGCGCUUACGAUCUUCCAUCUCCUUGCGCUUCCUUUCUGUCAUGAUUGCUCUGUCAAUCAGGUGCUGGAAUGUCGGGAAGGUGUGAUUCAUCAGCUGAUACUGCAGAGGGUCAACCAAGCCUCUCAGGAAACGGUACUGUCGCUUGGCGUCGGUGUUGACAUCUUCAGGAGCAUAGCGAGACAAUUGCAGAAACUUGUCCCGGUACUCACUGACAGACAAUGGCCCUUGCUUAAGGGCCAGGAACUCCUCCUUCUUCACUGUCAUCAGACCUGCAGGCACAUGGUACUGACGAAAGCUACCCCUGAAUUCUUCCCAGGUGAUGGUGUCGGGGUUGGCAUGGGUGGCGAGGUAAGACUCCCACCAUGACUGGGCUGCUCCUCUCAACAGACGGGGACCAUACAGAACUUUCUCCCUGUCAUCGCACUGAGCGGUAUGCAACUCCCGCUCCACAGUGCGCAGCCAAUCUUCAGCAUCCAUGGGGUCAGAAGAGUGAGCGAACGUUGGUGGAUGACCUCUCAUGAAUUCAGCACGCUUAUCUCUAGGCAUCUGAGGCAUCUGAGGCUGGGGUGGUGCUUGCUGCUGUUGCUGCUGCUGCUGCUGCUGAAUGGCGGCCAAAGUCUGACCGAUGGCUUGAACUGCCUGAGUCUGCAUCAGAAACAUCUGCUCAAUCGACAUCGGGGGCGGGGGCGGCAGGUGCUGCUGCUGGGGCACCUCAUCCUGCGGAGCGGCUCGCUCCUGCUGAGCACGCCUUCCUCCUCUACGCCUGUUCUCUGACAUCUGCAGAACGCAACCACACAUCAGAACUGAUCUGGCAAAUCUUGCAGCAUAAGGAAAGAGAAUAGAAUUCUUCAACAGCACUGGGCAGGUGAGCAUCUUCACUGAUCUCCAACACAGACCACACAUCUUCUCAGAUAAAGAGGAAAGGAGAAUAAUGGGUUUCCCAACUAUAUAACUAACUUUAUUGACAUAGUAUGUAAACCAAAAUGCAGGGGAUACCCACACUCUGGUGACAAUCAUUACAAAGAUCCAAACCAAACAUAGUUCAUCAUGACAAGCAUAAAUGCACAGGAUAUAGCAAACUACCCUGUCUAACUAAAACUAACUAAGACCGAGACUAACGCUAAGACUGAAGCUUCUAUGUAUAUAUUUAUUUCGUAUUAAUUACAAGAUCCAGCUCUAACGAUCUAUGGUUCUAGAGUUAUCUUGGUCUUGCAGGCGGGAUUGCCAUAAGACUGGUGUCCACGCUGAGGUGAGCGGUACGGGUGCUGAGUCCCAACGGGAGCGGGGGAACCACCAUCCAGAAAACGACGUUCCGCGCGCUCAGCCCGCAGCAGGGCGAUCUCAGCACGAGCCCUACUCAGCUCGUCUAAUGCAUGGUCCAGCUCCGUGUUUAGCACGGCGGCUAGGUUGACUGUGCUGCUCAACCUAGGAUUGCCCUCACCGACAGGUGAGACAAUCACGCCUCCUGUGCUGCCAGAUGAACGGCGGGGGUAAUACUUCAGGUCAAGACCGUCAGCUGCCCCACCGAAAACCGAGCAGUAGUGCGAAAGCGCACGCCGUGCAGCAUCUUGCAUGGCUGCCUCAGCUGAGUCCCGCUCAGAGAUAGAAUAGUACUCUGAACAGGCCUCUGCACCCUGGAGACUGUCCUCCGGGCAGCGCACCAAGCAAGUCGCCUCCCAGCGGUCCGGGUAGACCCCGCGACUAUGCUGGUAGACCACACAGCGAUACUCGACGGACCAAGUAUGCCGGUCAAAUGCCCGACGUAGCAGGGUGUCGAGCGCAUCAUGGAAGUGACACCCGCGAGCAGCGUCGCGAGUGAUGGGUCGAGCAACCCAUCCUUCCGGCUCAGGAUUAGCAGAGAAGUCGGUGUCGUGGCUCGAGCUGUCGUCGCCAUCUCCGUCGUCUGGGUCUCCUCCAGCAGCUACUCCAGAAGCUGGGGCGCCCAGUGGUGGUGCAGGGGGCGGCUCCAGAGAAAGCACAGGGGAGCAGCUCCUCACAGACUCUAUCUCCUGGUGGAGCGAGAGGGAAGAGCUCCGCUGCUCCUGUCGUCGACGCUCCUGCUCCUCACGCAGGCGGUGGUGUAGUCUCUCCAAGUGGCUGGACUGUCCGGCCACGGGACGGCGAAGCGGACGCUCAGCAAGGCGGGAGGGUAAGAAGGGGAUGACUGACUUUCGUGCAGUGUGUCUAAGUCGAGCCAUCUACAAAAGACAUCGCAAGCAAAAGGGUGAGAACAGAAUUAAUAUGACCAGCAAGUAAUAAGUAAAUGAAGGAUCAGAAUAAAACAUAAUUUUCAGCAAGGUAUAAUAUGUAGUAGAACAUAGGUUUGGUCAGUAGGACCAACUUUUGAAGGGAUAUCAAAGUCAAGGAAGAGACAGAGGUCUAUAGUCCUUAGAACGACCAUUCUACUCUAGGUUAGCGGUCCUACAGUCAGCACGGCUCUGAUACCACUUAUGUCACACCCGGUUUUAAAAAGGCAAACCGAAUGCGAACCAUGUACGUGCCAGGAUCAGUUAUUCACGUACACAGCAGUUACAUAAUAUGGACAUCAUCACACAGUGCUCAAAAUAGUAUUAAUAAGGGAAAUAGUAGAUUACAUCAUACGUCUGAGACGUCCAUAUAGUUCUUACAAUAAAUCAAAGUGCGGAAAAGAAACGUAGAUAACGCGGCCUUCACAGGCAGCCGACUGGGGGUUGCCGCUAACCCACACCUAGAACUCGUCGUAAUCUUGGAACUCCUGGAAGUCUCCUUCCACAGCUUCAUCUUCGCCUGAGCAGUGGUUGCAAUGCUGACAACCUGGGGGGGGGGUUUGGUGUGUAGAGCAAGGGUGAGUACACAUCAACAUACUCAGCAAGUAUCCUGUUUGGCUGUAGUGGACUAGCUUUAUGUGGGGAUAAGUCAAGCAGUUGCUUUUAGUUGGUCAGGUUAUUACUUACUAGUAGAAAGCCAAGUUUUAGCAUUAACCCAAGUUAUUAACCCAAUGUAUCCUUUCCAAACGGAAAGAAUACCACUUACCAGCACCAUAACCAUAACCAGAACCAUCAAUCUCAUAACCACCUGUACCACAAUGUCUCUGAUCAAGUACCACUAAUCAUUGGAGCUCCCUUGGCCGCUCAUAACCGCGAGCACGGCUGAUAUAUCAGUUUCAUAACACUCUGCAGAGGUUGUGCACUUUACCCACAAGCCGUGAUUCCCAUUCUGCCCGGAGAUCAUGACUCUCCAUUGAUCACUACCAAGGUGAUCCAGCAGGGCAUCACUACGAAGCCUUUACAAAGAUUCCCCGGGACUGCAGCCACCCGUUAGGUUUCCUAAAUGCACCGCACUCCUCCCCAAGGGGCGAACCCAAACUUGGCAGAGCGAGCCGCAUACACCGAGCCCCAUUGACGGCACGACGGCUAAGUGAACUACACCCCGGAUCCUCUAAUUAUUCAGCUAAGGGCACCCCAUUCCACCCUCAUGGUUGCACUGUUUUCCCGGGCGGUCAUCCAUAGAACAGGUCCUUACGGAGAGGCACUCGAGAAACCGCUCGAGUCCCCUUGAAAACCACAAGUAUAAUCAUAAAGAAGAACGGGAAAACAGCGUAUCAUAGAUAAUCACAUCAUGUUCAUUGAUUAGAGUUGAGCAAUAGCAUCAGACUAAGUAGUAAUAAUCCGACCCAAAUAGGUAAACAAGGACAUGGAUAACAAAAGCUAGUCAAUCCUUAGGUAUAAAUGUGUAAUGCGGGAGGUGAAUUAAAGAAUGAAUAGGACAUAGAUAGGUCAAAGGACACUUGCCUCCACCAAACGACUGCUGCUCAGGGGCUUCUCCUGCGAAUUCCUCGGGCUCUUCGACUGGAUCGUUCUCUAUGCGAGCGCAAACAUACAUACAUACAUCCACAUAUUUAAUACAAAAGAACAGUACACCAUACAAGAUAACAAAUAAAGCGAAUAUGCAUCAAGUAUGACAUUCGAUAACGCAUUUGUUAUGGUCAGAAAGAAACGGGAAAGGUCUCGCAGGGGGGGUUAAAUCUUAUGCACUAACGAUCAAUUACAAUUGGUUUUUAACAAAAUAAUUCUGCUACAUAUACACUAAUGGAAACCUAAUCACUUUUAGUUGAUCAACAUUGCACAGGGUAAACAAUUAACUACGUGCGUCAAUAGCAUAACAGAAUUUUAAAUUAAACUUCCUAUUUUCCCAUAGCAUGAACAGUGAUUAGCCUACUUAAAAUACAGUAAUUAUGAUCACAGAAAGUAAAUAAAAUAAAAUAAAAAAAAAUAAAAAAAAAACAGAGGGGGGGGCGGUUGAACCGGCCCUAGGGCGGUUGAACCGGCCCUAGGCGGGGCGCGGGCGCGGGCGGCGCAGGGGGCGGCCGAACCGGGGGCGGGGGCGGCGCAGGGGGCGGCCGAGCCGGGGGGCGGGGCGGCCGAACCGGCGGGGCAGGGGGGCGGGUAGGGGGCGGCCGAGCCGGGGGGCGGGGCGGCCGAACCGGCGGGCAGGGAGGCGGCCGAACCGGCCAUGGGGAGAGGGGAUGGGGGAGGGAGGAGAGGGGGAGGGGGAAGCUCACCGGCGACGGGGACGGGGCGGCCGAGCGGGGCGGCCGAACGGCGACGGGGAGGGGCGGCGGCCUAGGCAGGGGCGGCGGCUAGGGCAGGGGGCGGGUAGGGGGCGGCGGCUUGGGUGGGGAGGGAGAAAAUGAGGGGGGAGAGGGAGAGGGUUAGGGGAUAAGGGAAAGAGGGGGGGGGCGGCUGGGCCUACUAGGCCCAAGAGGGGGGCGCCAGGGGGCGGCUGGGCCGGCCGGGGUCGGCCCACGGCGCGGGAGAGAGAGAAAAAAAAGGAGAGAGAAAGAGAGAGAGAAAAGAGAAAGAAAAGAGAAAGAAAACAUUUUCGAAAUCCGAUCUUUCUACAUGAAUGCAUUUGCACUUUCAAAGCAAUCAAAAGAAAUGCAAGGUUCGGCAUGGUGCAUCAAACAACAUAAAGUAUUUAGGGUUUUUAUACAUACGGGAAUUCCAAACCGAAUCCCGCUAGAACUUUGGAAAAGGUCAAGGUUUAGCGAGGGAAAAAGAAAAAGAAAAGGUAACGCCCGAAUUUUGGCGAGUAAAGAAAAGAAAAAAAAUUCAACUGCAAAAAUUCGGGGCGUUACACUACAGCAGCAACAAUUGUUGCCAUACAACCAGUUCUCUUUGAUGAACCCUGUCUUGUCGAGGCAGCAACCCAUCGUUGGAGGUGCCAUCUUUUAGAUAACAUAUGAGAUGUACUCGAUAAUGGUGCCCUCAUACCGGCAUGUGUUUCCUAGAAAUAACCAAUAUAUUGAUUGAGAUUUAUCUCGAUAUAUUUCUGAACUAUGUCCAUCAUAUAAAUAAUUGAAAACAUCAAAUCGUAAUUAUAAACUCAUGCUUGGCCAAUACAUAGACAAUGCGAUAUUACUUCAACAUCCCAAUGAUGUCCUAGCCCAACCUCUUGAAUGUUAGUGUUUUAAUGUGUGAGGGUAUAUUUAUAAGAUAGACGUGACUAUUUGCGCUUUUUCAGUACAUACACAUAUGGUAUGUUGAUUUGAUAUAGUGAUGGACACAUGCUUUGACCAUGAAUAUUCAAAUCAGUUGUACUUGCACGAAGCAAAACAUAAUAUAAGUUUAGGAGUACACUUAUAACUGUAUCCAAUCAUGCUCACACAAAUUCAUACCACAUUAUAAUUUUUUGGUAAAUAUUCCACACAUGUACUUUUUACAAGAACCCAAAUUUUGCAAACAAAUGUAGCAUUGUAGACAUGUAGAAUUCUUUGAAGCACGUGAACUUAACAACAUCAAGGUCAUUAAAUCAACUAGACCCUAUGAGUAACAAUUUCGAUAUUGCAAACACCAAAUUAUAGAACUUAUUGGCUGAAAAAUUAUGAGCAAUGUGAACUUUAAAUUAUUAUACCAUAAAUAUAUCAAAGAAUUUUUUUAGGAACGUAAAAAUUGCAUGGAAUGGGCUGCCCAACGUGCUAGCUCACUUCUAUGCUAGGCAGCAUUACCAAAGAUGGGAAUGUUGCUGAUGAACGCCAAACCCACUCAAAUAAUAUUUAUAUUUGGGUUGUUUAGUUGUAAAAGUGAAGACCCAAGAUAAAAGUACCAAUUGUCCAAUGACAUUCGAUUAUUUUGUUCGGGGAGCACUUGGUGCGUCAUUUGUACUCGUAUCUUAGUCCAAUAGAUUGUAUUUUCCUUCAAUGUGUAGAAUCCGACAAAGUGCAUGUUCUAAAAUUGUAAAUCUAACUAAAUUAGAAAGCUUGUUACUAAUUUGAUGGUUUAUUAGGUGUAGCUCAUAAAACUAGAACCAACAUAGCCUGCACUCACAUGUCAUAGAAAAUAGGAGUAUCCAAGCACAAUUUGUGUGAGCAUCCAUGACACAAAUUAUAUAUAGAGUGAUAUAAUUAAUUCCUUCAAAAUAAAAAAAGGAAAAAAUAAAGUGUUUUUUGAUACUGCAGGAUAUCUCUUUUAGCUAAUGAGGAGUACUAAAAAGUUGUUGCACUUUUGGGUGGCGAGAAUUCCUCAAUCAUAACUUUGACAUAAUUUUAAUCCAGAUCACAUAUAUAGCAUCAUAUCUUAAUUAUUAAAUUAAUAUGGUUCCAUCAUCGUAUUAUUAAUUCAAUCUGAUAUAACCAUCAAAUCUUAAUUAUUAAAUUAAUCUGGAGCAUACAUUAGAUUAUCAAACCAAAUCAACCCGACAUAACCAUCGAAUGUUUCGCUAUGCGCCUUAAGCGCAUGGUCUCAGGCUUAAUCAUCCGGAAUAACCAUUCGAUCUUCUGGUAAGCAUAGUAAGCGUAUGGUUCAUGGCUUCGUCAUCCGGAAUAACCAUCAUAUUUUCCGGUAUGCACUGAAAGCAAAUGAUCCGGGGUUUUGGUAGGUGAAACGUUGUUAGGUGAAUGCGGAUCCUGGCUGCUGUUGCACGUGUGAACUGCUGUGUGGAAGCUGCUGGGUCCUCCUCUAUUUUGCGUGGUUUGUGGCAGGCUUGGAAUUCUCUCAUGGCUUCGGUGCUUGGAACUGCUCGUACGUCCGGUCCUGCGUGCAUCUCUCUCUCUCUCCUGGCUGGAGGUGUGGUGGUCUGGCGGCUUGUCUGUGUUUUUCUUUUUACGACGGCUUCUCGUGUUGGCUAGGGUUGGCGUCAGGGGCCCGGUCAGCUAUGCUCCCUCUGCUUUUAUAGGCAGUGCACCACAGCAGGCAGAGCAGAGAUAAAGAUUCCAACUGCAUCCAUCUACAAACAAGGCUCUCGGUGGAAGGGAUAAAAGCAUGCAUCGCAAUUGCCGCUGCCCUGCUUUAGCCUUGAGUCUCGUCAAUUGGAUGACCAAAAGAUGUCACCGUCUAAGCUCUUUUCUUUGUGCAGCUGCCUGUUUGUCACCAACACAAAAUUGUAGGUGCAUGUUUGACACCAAUUAUCCUCUACCACAAAGAACUACAAUAGUGAUGGAGGAUCUGAUCCGGCACUGAUCCACUAUAAUGCAUAGUGGGUGAUGCAUGUCUAAUGGUGGUUGUUUAGUGUUAGUUUGGGCAUGUUGGAACUAAGCAAUUGUCGAUGCCAUACACUAGAUGUGAAGAAUGUUGUUAGCGUUAGGAGUAGAGGUGUCAAUGGGGACCGAUACCCGUUAAGCCAUGGAGAAUUUCUCUAUUAGAUUUAGGGUAUGGGAAAUUUUUUAUUUCCAUUUGCUGAAGUUAGGUAUACAUCUAUUUGAAUCAAUAGUUACAGUUCAACAGAAACUCCUUCCGCUCUAGUUUGUUUCAUGUCCUACCUUUUUCCUAAACUAGUGUUUCCUAAAUUGACAUACUCUCUAGAAAAUCUAUCCAAAUUUUGAAGAUCAAAUAUGUUCCAUUGAAUUAUUCAUGACAUAUAUCUUGGUAUUGCUUUUUGUCAUCAGAAUAUAUUUUGAACUCAGUAAAAGUUAUACACGAUUUUUUUAGACAAUACUAAAGCAAGUUGUAUCAAGAACACUGGAGGUGUGCGCCAAUUGCCACAUUUAGAUAUAAUCAUUCUAAUUUUGGUCAUCCUAUGUGUGUGCAUUCAUCUAUGCAUUCUAGGAUUUCAAUUAGUCUCAAUCUUGUAGUAUUUGUUCCUUCAUUGUCAAAUCACUUCUCAUCUAACUACUAUGCUUGUUUAACCAUCAGAACAUAACUACAACAAUAUCCAUUUAUAAAGGUUUUGAUAGCAAACUUUACAUAUUCAUAUCAUGUUAAGGUUGUCACAUGUGUAAAGGUGAAGAGAUCAUGCAUGUCAUUCCACGUAGAUGAAAAGAAUUCCUAUAUAAAAUGACACCUUUUCUUGUAGGUAGUGGAAAGUAUCUUUCCAGCAAAGACCAUAUAAUCCGAUAAAGUUGAUAACUAAAUGUCAAAAUAGAGUAGAUGCCAUAUCAUAUAUACCUUAUCUGUUGUUUGGAAAAAAAAGACUAAAUCCCAAAAAUAUAUAUGAGAUCUCACUUGUAUAAAUAGCUCCCAAAUUAGUAGUUAACCAUCACCCAUAAUAUUUUGAACAUUCAGAAACACACCUAGCGAAGCGCACUAGCAACGACCUAACAACAAUGGCUACCAAGAUAUUAUCCCUCCUUGCGCUUCUUGCCCUUUUUGUGAGCGCAACAAAUGCGUUCAUUAUUCCACAAUAUUAGUUAUACUCUUAAUGUCACGAUGUAUAUGUUUGAUUAAAUUGUUUAAUAGAUAUAAUCAAAGAUAAAUAACUUGCAUGGCUCCGUAGGAUAUUAUGUGUAUCUUGUUCAUGAUCACUAAUGGUCCUCAUAGGCACCAUUUGAUUUGCUGCUCCCAUUGUCUCAAUUUCCAUUGUAUUGUCAUCGUUGACCCCCGACGCUCGAAAUUCUGCAGGUGGUGUUACAAUAUGUCUCCGUGGACUCGUAGCACAGUUUGGAGAUUUAAGUCUUAGGGUGAGCGCUGUUGGUAGACCACUGUAUGUGUCUGCACGACGGCCACCAUAUUUGACUUUUUAUUUUAUAAACCGAUGUAUUUAUACAAAUAUUAAUGUACCUGAUGCAGCUCUGUGCAUGAUGCAGAAGAAACAUCACCAGUUUCUUCUUCUCCACCGUCAACCAUGGGUCAACAAUGCAGCGACGCCGCCAGUUCCCUUUCUUAUAUGCACCGCUCUGUCUAGUCUCGGGUAGCCAUGUUUACGCUAUUUUUUGUGGUCAUUUACGGUCUAUAAAGUUUGUUCCUGCAUGCAUGGAGAUAUUAUCGGAGACGUGACAACUACCCGAUAGAUUUUAUCUCGGUUUGUUGAAACAAUUUUGUAUUUACUCAACUAAAUGAAACCAGUUACGCAAUUUUCUGUAUAUAUUUAUGCCUGAGUUUCUGCUUACGUGCAUGCCAUGCAAUAUUCUCGGGAACUACCAAUUAUGGUUUGUGAUUUUAUCGCGUAUUCCGUUUAUGCUAAUAUUCAAACACGUUUACAUUUUGUUUGUUAAUGUUUAUGCUUUGGUUCGACCAACCAGAAAACCGCACAGAGAAACUUGGGCGCUGCCCGGAUCGAACAAAUUGGCUGGGGCUUCCCGAUACUAAUGGAAGCCCUAGGCUUCCAUUAGUUCGUCCAUAUAUAUAUAUAUAUAUAUAUAUAUAUAUAUAUAUAUAUAUAUAUAUAUAUAUAUAUAUAUAUAUAUAUAUAUAUAUAUAUAGUUUAUCUAUUUGGAGCCCUGGGCUUCCAAAAAAACAAGGAAGCCCUGAUCCAAAAAGUCUAUUCCGGUUCAGUGCAACCACAACCGGCCAACCCAACCACAAUCCCCCACGCUUGCGCGUACAUUUCAUUUUUUCCAUCAAUUCAGCCGAAACCGCCACCUUAAAUUAGGAUAUAUUAUUUUCCCCCAAAACAAACCCUAACCGGUCGGCCCAAUUCUCACGCGCUCGCCACAGAUCUAGCCCUGCCUACAGCGCUCUCGCUGCUGCACGUCCCGUUCACGUCGUCGUCCGCCCCUGGCCCUUGCCUCACCGACUCGUGGCCGUCGGCAGCUCCACGUGGGACACGGCCACGCCUGACGCCUCCACCUCCACGACUCAGCUGACGGCUCCUCUCCAUGGGACGGUGCAUGACGACGCCAUGGCGGUUCACCGGCUCCAACCUUCCCCCUCCGGCCUACAGUCCUCCACCGUCCGGUCGCCAGUGGUCCUCCAUGGGCCAUGGCUGACGGGUGCACGCACCGGUAUUCAUCCCUUGCUGCUCUAUUCCCAAUGCUCUAGCUCGUGUACUAGUUGUGCAGCCUGUCGCCUAGCCCUGCUCCGGCGUGAAGUCCUGAUGCUUCUAGUUGUUUUUGUCUUAAAUAAAGAUGCUAGUAUGCAUGUGGCUAUGUGAGGUCUAUUGCAUCCGAUUUAGUGCUGCACAUUUAAGUAAUCUUGAUGAUUGAUUCAAGCAAUUUUUUACUUGGCCUUUAUAUUCUAGAUUAUUGUAACCGGUUGAAACUAAGAGAUACAUGAUGAUUUUCUAAAUCAUAAAUAUAUUUAUAUUGCAUAAUCUUCUACCUAAGGCCUUAGUGCCUAUCCUUAACAAAUAUUUUUUUAUACUUGAUUCUACUGUGUAGGUAUGACAGGUCGUUCAACGAGCACCUCAUUAUCCAGAGUCUCACAAUUUAAAUUGUUUGAUUUCUAAAGUCCAAUUAUAUUUCUAGUCAGCAAUCACAUAUUAACUACACAAGCAAAGUGCAGAGAUAUAUUAUGUUCCUUUUUGAAACAAGUUAUUUCUUACAAUACCAUUUUCAUUGUGUUCUUUUCAUUGUAUUUUUCCUUCAUCUAUCAUGUCACGUUGUGGUUGUGGACCUGGCUAGCUUCAAUCAUGCUUUUCCUUUUUCAGUUUCGCCUUUUCCAGUGGUAAUACUUGACAGAGAAAUCCUGAACCAAGCGCAAACCUUCUGCAAGACCUGGUAACUUAUUUUAGGGGCUAGAAAUAGGCGACGACAGUUCAGGCCUUGUUUUUUACACCAAUCCAACCCUGGAUUAGCAAUGAUUUUUAUGCAGCUCUUGUUUGUUACGACUACUCAUGGCACCAUUUAUGCAUACAUCUGAACUAUUUAUGCUGUUGAUAUGUUUCUAGUGUGGCAAUGAUUUUUUUACAUAUAGAUGCUUACCAAAAGUUCAAAAUCUUUCCGGUCGGUAGCAGUAGAAGCAGCACACCCAAUUUGUCAUACACUCUGUAAUUUUUAUUUCCUAAAUAUGUCUUUUUAUGCUAAUUUGAAUACGCUAUUACGCCCAAUUACUAGAUCGCGCGUAUGCUCCAUUUUGUAAACACGUAGACCACCAAAUUGUACAUUUUUUAUGUUCUUUUUAUGCUUUUAUUCUGAGUUGAAUUGGUCCUCACAUGAUCAUGCAUCAAUACCCAAUGGUUCAGACUCAUCUAAUGCUUCUGCUUCCUUACAUGAACAUGCAUUAGCACAUCAGUCAUCUAGCGCUACUUACUAUAACAAGCACACAUUAUCCACCGAUAUGAUUCUUAUUCCUGCUAAUUUUAAUGUGUUAUUAUGCUCAAUUAUCAGAUCUCGUGUACGCUCCGCAUUGUAAACACGUAGACCAAUUCUCCUACAUUGUUUUUGUUCUUCCUUUUAUGCUUUUACGAUGAUUUGAAUUGGUCCUUUUCAGAACAAUGCACCCCCAGUACGUAGUCCACUCUAGAGCAGUAUACGACAGAUACGCCCAGUACCUCCAGUAAGUAUAUGCUCUUUAUUUUUGUGAUCUACUGCCCAAGUAUCCAGAAGGCAAACUAGAUUUUGAUGUCUGCAUAUUAAAAUUGCCGAUAUCAAAUAAAUCGUCCAUGAGUUGUCCUAGAGUUUCUAGUGUGAAGGAUAUGCAUUGAAUCAGUUUUAUAUGUUUUCGGAAUGAUGGACAAGGUACAACAUGAUAGGAGAAUUUUUUUACACCCUAGUUAUCUUGUUUUAAUUCACCCUUUUUGCGCUCCAAUUAUUUUGGUGAAUCUUAGCAUAGAACUUGACCUUAUAUUAUUUUGUAUGUUUGGUUUGCAUGGGAUAUAUUUAUGAACAUUGAUAUCGUUUUUAUGCUUACUGACAGAAUGCAUAUGGCCUGAAAAUGGAGAAUUGAGGUAUAAAAUAUCGGCUCUUCACUGUCAUAUGCAUUCAUUAGCUUUUUGGUGAUUGGCUCAAUUUAAUGGUUGGUGCACUCAUGCAAUUUUGAACUAAAACAACAACUUGUUUGCACUAUCCAUGCAUAUUGAUAUUGCUAUUGUAGCAACUGCUAUAAAUAACUGUGGCACCAUUUAUGCAUACACUCCACUAUAUAUGUGUUUUGAUUUGUUAUGAUCAGAAAUUCCAUUAUUAACGACUGAAUUUUGGUGUGCUGAUGCUAUAACCUGUGACAUCCAGCUAUUUUCUUGAUUUGUUACAUCUUUUUGUCAAUCUUAAUCUUAUUUUAUUUGAUUUAUUGCAUCAUCCAUUUGAAUAUAGACAUAAAAACCAAGAGCUAAAAUGAAUACUAUUUCCAGUUCUAGGCGGCAUUAUAAAUUCUAUUUUUUUCUUAUAAUGAUGUGAAUCUUGAUGGUUUAAUACUAUUGUUUUAGGACAAUUAUUAUGGUUUCAUACUAUUUCCAGUUCUUUAGUCAUGGAUUUUUUUUCAGAAGUUGAUGAACUCUACCUUCGCAGGAUCUAGUUCCUUGAAUCUUACUGUCUUUUGAGUUUGAGCAUAUACUGAUGUGGAGAGGAAGUGAUUGGAAAUCAUCUCUUCCUCCAUUAGAAAAUAGUUAUGAAGUGACAAAGGUGCAAGAAAGUUUUAGUGGCAAAGAAUCUAAUGAAAAGGUUACACAUUCAGGAAAUGUUCUGAUCCAGAUUUAGUUGGUCAGUGUUGCAACAUCUCACAAGAACUGGAACUUGGAUGAAGGUCAAGAAAAAUUUAAAGAUUCCACUGACAGUGAUAUGGUACUGAAUUCUGCAAAGGAUGUUCCUGCAUUGUUCCAUUCUACAGGUAUAUCUAGAACUGAACCCUCAGCAGACAUUGCAUUGGAAUAUUCCCCAUUAAAUCCAGUAUGUGAUAUUAUGGAUCCAUCCCUGAACUGCCGAAGUAUCCCAACAAACAAAUGUGAAAGUAGAGCUCUGGUAGAGAAGUCAGAACAUUGUCCGAAUGAUUAUAAUUUGGAAAUGAAGGGGAAAAGAAACGAUGGUACAAAAUGUACAGUUGUUCUAAAUAGCGGUUCUAAAGUAGAGGGAUUGUUAUGUCUUUUGGAGCAAGCCAUUCACAGUGGCAGGGCACUUGUUCUGAGUGAAGAUGAACUUGCUGAUUCAGAUCUGGUCUAUGAAAAGUCUGUUGCUUUUAGAAAGUCAAUUCUGCGAAGACUGGUUUUUGAGAAUACUCGAAGGAAGUCCAGUGCCAGGAGAAAUGUGCCAGACAAUCAUGCAAGAACUAAAACACAUAUUAUAGCAAAUAAAAUGUUGAGCAGUCCUGUUGAAAAUAAAUUUAUCGUUAAUGGAGGAUCUGCAAUGCAGACAAUUGACCAUGGACAAGAGUGUCUUUCUGGUGUUGUUCAUCAAGGUACCUUAAGAGUAGAUGAACUAGCAAAGUUACUAGCUUGAGAGGUGAUUGCUCUUUUAUCAACCACAUAGACCAGUAUCAACAUCCUUUGAAACAUAUGCAAGAUUUGCAUGAACUCUGAAUUUGGUUAAAACAAGUCUCAGGUCUGUUGCGUCGUGGCGAGUCCUUUUUAACCUUGAAAUAUUGAACUAUAAUCAUGUGCGAUGUACAAACAACCUUCCGAAUACAUAUUCUCUGAUUUGUCUGUUGUCACCAUAAUUGGCCACUGAUAAAUAACCCUUCUGUUUUAUGUGACAAAAAAUGGUCCACACGAUGCGUUUUACGUUCAAAAACUUCUACGCGACAUGCACGGAAACUAACGCUAAACAUGCGUGAUUUAAACGUCGUAAUUCGUUACGAAACAGAUCAACGAUUUAUGCUAAAAUUCACACCCAUUUACGCUAUUUUGGAUCAUAUUUUACGCAAAAAUCCGCCCGAGCCAGAACCCGCGCAUGAUCCGACGCGCGCGAUUUUUACGCCGUAAUUUUUGGGCCACAUUCGUCGUUAUGAAACUAAGUUACGAUUUACGCUAAAAUUUUUACCCAUUUACGUUGUUUUGGUUAACGUUUUACGCAAAAAUCCAUCCAAGCCAGAACCCGCGCAUGAUCGGACGCGCGCAAUUUUUACGCCGUAAUUUUUGGGCCCUAUUCGUCGUUACAAAACAGAUCUAUGAUUUACGCUAAAAUUCAUAACCAUUUACGCUGUUUUGGUUCACGUUUUACGCAAAAAUUCGCCCAAUCCAGAUUCCGCGCACGAUCGGAAGCGCGCGAUUUUUACACCGUAAUAUUUGGGCCCAUUCGUUGUUAUGAAAUAGAUCUACGAUUUACGCUAAAAUUCGUACUCAUUUACGCUGGUUUGGUUCACGUUUUACGCUAAAAUCUGCCUGAGACAGAACCGUGCACGAUCGGAUGCACGCCUACCUGCGCGUAGGUAUACCUGGCUGGGGCUUCUCGGUACUAAUGGAAGCCCUGGGCUUCCAUUAGCUCGUGUAUAUAUAUAUAUAUAUAUAUAUAUAUAUAUAUAUAUAUAUAUAUAUAUAUAUAUAUAUAUAUAUAUAUAUAUAUAUAUAUAUAUAUAUAUAUAUAUAUAUAUAUAUAUAUAUAUCAAACUUCAUUAGAUUUGUAUAUUUAUCACCUAAAUUGCAAAUGUAUAGUGUCGUUCCUUCUAUGUAUGGACUAAAUGGUGAAUUACAUACUUCUUUAACAUAUUUAAUUGAGGUUUUCUUGGCCCUGUUCAAAUGUUUUUAAACAGCCUACAAUACAGCGUUGACCUUUGUUUACCAUUUAAAUGCUGUUCAAACAGGUUAGAUAUAACGGUGGUUGCGACUGAAUGCCGAGGCAUGCAUUUCUACAAGGUGGUUUAUUAACUAGGGUCCACUCCUUCAUAUGUACCCACAUAUAUACAAGGUGGUUUUUUAACGAUAGGAAUAACUACACCUGGGAGUAGGAAAAAUGCACCAUAUAUAUAUGUCAAACUUCAACUAUAUAUUAGAACCAUUUGAGACUUUCUGAUUGGUGUCCUUCGCAAAUAUAACCUCAUGGUAUGGCUUAUAUGACAGAACAUCCAUUAGAUGUGUGUGAAAGAGAGGACGCUACACCUGCUGAGUGAGGAUGCUGAUUGAAUUGCUGCUGCAUAUAUAUUGGUUUCGAUGAAUUGCCAUAAGCGGAUAUGUGGCCCAUGCACUCCUGUUGCACCAUUCAUGUGUCCAUCUGAUAAACCAUAUGCAGAUGAGUUGUCCAGCAUGUCUGAAUGUAUUCCAGAAUUAUUGUGGCCUAUGCUGAAUCUGAUUGCAAUUUUGGUUGCUAGAAAAUUGGAUCUGGAUCCGGAGCUGAAUCCUGGAGUUGGGAUCCUGUUGAUUACUGAAUCUGGAGCUGCACAUUCUGUUGAUUACUGAAUCCUGGAGUUGGGAUCAUGUCUCAUGUGAGCUGAACCAACUGAACCCGGCCCAUCGUAGAUUGUACGUUAUUUGUGGUAGAUUUUGUGGAAUGCCAGAAUUUAAAUGCUGGUAGCCAUUGGACCUGUGUGGAGGAAUUAAGAGUGGGUUACUAUAAAAACAAAAUGUUAUUCUUUUACAAUUUUUUGUUAAUACACAUGGCUCUGUUCCUGAUGCAGCAUUUCCUAUAUAUAGACUUGAUGAAACAUUUCCUGAUGAAGCUUUCUUUUUCUUAACAGGUCAGUGGAGGUGACGUUUAGUACGAAAUGAGGACACAUGUCACUUAUCUGCUGCGAAUACUGCCGUCGGACAAAAAAACUUAUAACUUUUUGUGCAAUCAGCAAUUACUAAUAUGCUGCUCGCGAUGAAUGAUGUGUGUAUGCUACUUUUGGACCUGUGGUAUCUAAGGCUGCCAACCAUAAUGUUUUGGCAAACACAAAUCCGUGUGGCUAAACAAAAAUCUUGAUGCAUGUUGUAUGAUCCAGCUAACAUCAAUGCCGCUUUAUUGUAAAUGUUUAUGUUUUUACUAUAUGACUUACUAUAUGUGUUGAUUAUAUUGCAAAUAUUUUUAUCUCCUCCCAUUCUCGGCGCCUCCUGUUCUAGUUUGUACAUAAUGAAGGGUAGACUCACAGCAUAGCUGGUGCAAGGGAAAAAAUGUUGCAUAAAAUAUGUCAUUUCCAUUUUUUGAGGAAACAUGUCAACAUUGACAUUUGCUGAAGUUAGGUAUACAUCUAUUUGAAUCAACAGUUACAGUUCAACAUAUACUCCUUCCGCUCUAGCUUGUUGCGUGUCCUACUUUUUUUCUAAAUCACUUUUCUCUAAAUUGACAUACUCCCUAGAAAAUCUAUCCAAAUUUUGAAGAUCAAAUUUGUUCCAUUGAAUUAUUCAUGACAUCUAUCUUGGUAUUGCUUUUUAAUAAUCAGAAUAUAUUUUGAUCUCAACAAAAGUUAUACACGAUUCUUUUUAGACAAUACUAAAGCAAAUUGUAAUCAAGAACACUUGAGGUUCGCACCAAUUGCCACAUUUAGAUAUAAGCAUUCUAAUUUUGGUCAUCCUAUGUGUGUGCAUUCAUCUAAGCAUUCUAGGAUUUCAAUUAGUCUAUAUCUUGUAGUAUUUGUUCCUUCAUUGUCAAUUCACUUCUCAUCUAACUACUAUGAUUGUUUAACCAGUAGAACAUAACUACGACAAUAUCCAUUUAUAAAGACUUUGAUAGCAAACUUUACAUAUUCAUAUCAUGUUAAGGUUGUCACAUGUGUAAAGGUGAAGAGAUCAUGCAUGUCAUUCCACGUAGAUGAAAAAAUUCCUAUAUAAAAAUGACACCUUUUCUUGUAGGUAGUGGAAAGUACCUUUCCAGCAAAGAUCAUAUAUAUAAUCCGAUAAAGCUGAAAACUAAAUGUCGAAAUCGAGUAGAUGCCAUAUCAUCUAUACCUUAUCUCUUGUUUGGAAAAAAGACAAAACCAAAAAAUAUUUAUGAGGUCUCACUUGUAUAAAUAGCUCCCAAAUCAGUAGUUAAUCCAUCACCUAUAAUAUUUUGAGCAUUCAGAAACACACCAAGCGAAGCACAUUAGCAACAACCUAACAACAAUGGCUACCAAGAUAUUAUCCCUCCUUGCGCUUCUUGCGCUUUUUGCGAGCGCAACAAAUGCGUUCAUUAUUCCACAAUGCUCACUUGCUCCAAGUUCCAUUAUUACACAGUUCCUCCCACCAGUUACUUCAAUGGGCUUCGAACACCCAGCUGUGCAAGCCUAUAGGCUACAACAAGCAAUUGCGGCGAGCGUCUUACAACAACCAAUUUCCCAGUUGCAACAACAAUCCUUGGCACAUCUAACAAUACAAACCAUCGCAACGCAACAGCAACAACAAUUCCUACCAGCACUGAGCCACCUAGCCAUGGUGAACCCUGCCGCCUACUUGCAACAGCAGUUGCUUGCAUCAAACCCACUUGCUCUGGCAAACGUAGUUGCAAACCAGCCACAACAACAGCUGCAACAGUUUCUGCCAGCGCUCAGUCAACUAGCCAUGGUGAACCCUGCCGCCUACCUACAACAGCAACAACUGCUUUCAUCUAGCCCGCUCGCUGUGGCCAAUGCACCUACAUACCUGCAACAACAAUUGUUGCAACAGAUUGUACCAGCUCUGACUCAGCUAGUUGUGGCAAACCCUGCUGCCUACUUGCAACAGCUGCUUCCAUUCAACCAACUGACUAUGUCGAACUCUGCUGCGUACCUACAACAGCGACAACAGUUACUUAAUCCACUAGCAGUGGCUAACCCAUUGGUCGCUGCCUUCCUACAGCAGCAACAAUUGCUGCCAUACAACCAGUUCUCUUUGAUAAACCCUGUCUUGUCGAGGCAGCAACCCAUCGUUGGAGGUGCCAUCUUUUAGAUUACAUAUGAGAUGUACUCGAUAAUGGUGCCCUCAUUCCGGCAUGUGUUUCCUAGAAAUAAUCAAUAUAUUGAUUGAGAUUUAUCUCAAUAUAUUUCUGAACUAUGUUCAUCAUAUAAAUAAUUGAAAACAUCAAAUCGUAAUUAUAAACUCAUGCUUGGUCAAUACAUAGACAAUGCGAUAUUACUUCAACAUCCCAAUGAUGUCCUAGCCCAACCUCUUGAAUGUUACUGUUUUAAUGUGUGAGGGUAUAUUUAUAAGAUAGACGUGACUACUCGCGCUUUUUUUAGUACAUACAUAUAUGGUAUGUUGAUUUGAUUAGUGAUGGACACAUGCUUUGACCAUGAAUAUUCAAAUGAGGUGUAUUUGCACGAAGCAAAACAUAAUAUAAGUUUAGGAGUAGACUUAUAACUGUGUCCAAACAUGCUCACACAAAUUCAUACCACAUUAUAAUUUUUUGGUAAAUAUUCCACACGUAUUUUUUACAAGAACCCAAAUUUUGCAGAUAAAUGCAGCAUUGUAGACAUGUAUAAUUCUUUGAAGCCCCUGAACUUAACAGCACCAAGGUCAUUAAAUCAACUGGACCCUAUGAGUAACAAUUUCAAUAUUGCAAACACCAAAUUAUAGAACUUAUUGGCUGAAAAAUUAUGAGCAAUGUGAAGUUUAAAUUAUUAUACCAUAAAUAUAUCAAAGAAUUUUUUUUGAGGAACGUAAAAAUUGCAUGGAAUGGGCUGCCCAACGUGCUAGCUCACUUCUAUGCUAGGUAUCAUUACCAAAGAUGGGAAUGUUGCUAAUGAACGCCAAACCCACUCAUAUAAUAUUUAUAUUUGGGUUGUUUAGUUGUAAAAGUGAAGACCCAAGAUAAAAGUACCAAUUGUUCAAUGACAUUCGAUUAUUUUGUUCGGGGAGCACUUGGUGCGUCAUUUGGACUCAUAUCUUAGUCCAAUAGAUUGCAUUUUCCUUCAAUGUGUAGAAUCCGACAAAGUGCAUGUUCUAAAAUUGUAAAUCUAACUAAAUUAGAAAGCUUGUUACUAAUUUGAUGGUUUAUUAGGUGUACCUCAUAAAACUAGAACCAACAUAGCCUGCACUCACGUGUCAUAGAAAAUAGGAGUAUCCAAGCACAAUUUAUGUGAGCAUCCAUCACACAAAUUAUAUAUAGACUGAUAUAAUUAAUUCCUUCAAAAAUAAAAAAGGAAAAAAUAAAGUGUUUUUUUGAUAUUGCAGGAUAUCUCCUUUAACUAAUGAGGAGUACUAAAAAGAUGUUGCACUUUUGGGUGGCGAGAAUUCCUCAAUCAUAACUUUGACAUAAUUUUAAUCCGGAUCACAUAUAUCAUCAUAUCUUAAUUAUUAAAUUAAUAUGUGUCGGAGAGGGAAUUCUCCGGCCGGGUGGCGGAAUGCACCCGCCCUAAAUCCUAAGAUGAGGAAGGGGCUUAAGUGUUUUGCCUGUCUUGCUAAGCGAUCACCGAGCACACGAACACGCGAGGAUUUAGAGUGGUUCGGGCCGCCAGAGCGUAAUACCCUACUCCACUGUGUGUUGGAUUGCUGUGGAAGCUUGAGAGCUGAGAGUCUGAGUCCUUUGUCUGUGUUGCGUGCCCUCCCUUUUAUAGCUCAAGGGGGGCAUGUACAAGGACACUGAACCCCGACAUGUGGGCCUAGGGACAUAACAGAUGGAAUACUCGGAGCAACUAAUAUCAGUCACCUUGUGCAAUCAUCCUGUGCCCCGAUAUCCGCCGCUAGAGUAGCAUUGGCGUGCAGCAGAAGGUUCCCCGGCAUCGUACAAGUCAUGAUGGCCAUCGCACGCGCGCUGCGGUAUGGGCGUACUGCCCACUGUCUGAUUGGACAGGCACGUCGCCUGUAGAGUGGUCUGGUCGUCGCCUGUCAUCAGAGUGGACGGGGCACAUUAAAUGCCGAGACGGCACAUCGCCUGUCAGCAGGGCGGACAGGCGGCGCGUCCUCUCCGCAAUAAAUGUAGAGAUCACGUGGCUCAAAGGCCUUACGUCAGGCUCCACCCGCCGGCUUACGUCACGAGCAAUAGGCCGCGUGGCAGCAUUAGGUCCUCGCCUGAGCGGGGAGCGGAAGUACACCAGGCAAGACCCUGACAAGUGUCUACGCCGGACCCCUGUACGUCCUUGACUUAGGCCAGGGUAUUCUUCAUCCCGGGAUCUUGCUGUGGGUGGCUUGGACCUCACUUAGAGGGGUCCAGGUCCCAUCCAAGGGAACAUGGAGGUCCUGGGUCGUACCCGGAGGUCCGAGUCAUGUAUGCUGGGGUCCGACACUUUCCCAUGGGGGUCCGGAUUCACUGACGAUAUCACGGUAUGUGUUACCUUCUCUGGUCACUUGGCGGCCCCGGAGUCGCCCACGUGGUGGGGUCGGGCGUUGUUUACCGUGCGUCUAGAGAUAGACGUGCGGGUACCGCGCCUUCAUACUAUAGUAAGGGGUACUCCUGUUCCAGGGUAUCGACAAUAUGGUUCCAUCAUCGUAUUAUUAAUUCAAUCUAAUAUAACCAUCAGAUCUUAAUUAUUAAAUUAAUCUGGAGUGUACAUUAGAUUAUCAAACCAAAUCAACCCGACAUAACCAUCAAAUGUUCCGCUAUGCACCUUAAGCGCAUGGUCUAGGGAUUAAUCAUCCGGAAUAACCAUCCGAUCUUCUAGUAAGCAUAGUAAGUGUAUGGUUCACGACUUCAUCAUCCAGAAUAACCAUCAGAUUUUCCGGUGUGCACUGAAAGCAAAUGAUCCGCGGUUUUGGUAGGUGAAACGUUGUUAGGUGAAUGCGGAUGUUGGCUGUUGUUGCACGUGCGAACUGUUGUGUGGAAGCUGCUGGGUCCUCCUCUAUUGUGCGUGGCUUGUGGCGGGCUUGGACUACUCUCAUGGCUUCGGCGCUUGGAACUGCUCGUCUGUCCGGUCCUGCGUGCAUCUCUCUCUCCUGGCUGGAGGUGUGGUGGCCUGGCGGCUUCUCUGUGUUUUUCUUUUUAUGAUGACUUCUCGUGUUGGCUAGGGUUGGCGUUAGGGGCUCGGUCAGUUAUGCUCCCUCAGCUUUUAUAGGCAGCGCACCAUAGCAGGCAGAGCAGAGAUAAAGAUUCCAAUUGCAUCCAUCUACAAACAAGGCUCUCGGCGGAAGGGAUAAAAGCAUGCAUCGCAAUUACUGCUGCUCUGCUGCAACCUUGGCUCUCGUCAAUUGGAUGACCAAAAGAUGCCAACGUCUAAGAUCUUUUCUUUGUGCAGCUGCCUGUUUGUCACCAACACAAAAUUGUAGGUGCCUGUUUGUCACCAAUUAUCCUCUACCACAAAGAACUACAAUAGUGAUGGAGGAUCCGAUCCAGCACAGAUCCACUAUAAUGCAUAGUGGGUGAUGCAUGCCUAAUGGUGGUUGUUUAGUGUUAGUUUGGGCAUGUUGGAACUAAGCAAUUGUCGAUGCCAUACACUAGAAGUGAAGAAUGUUGUUAGCGUUAGGAGUAGAGGUGUCAAUGGGGACCGAUACCCGUUAAGCCAUGGAGAAUUUCUCUAUUAGAUUUAGGGUAUGGGAAGAUUUUAAUUUCCAUUUGCUGAAGUUAGGUAUACAUCUAUUUGAAUCAACAGUUACAGUUCAACAGAAACUCCUUCCGCUAUAGUUUGUUGCAUGUCCUACCUUUUUCCUAAACUAUUUUCCCUAAAUUGACAUACUCUCUAGAAAAUCUAUCCAAAUUUUGAAGAUCAAAUCUGUUCCAUUGAACUAUUCAUGACAUAUAUCUUGGUAUUGCUUUUUGUCAUCAGAAUAUAUUUUGAACUCAGUAAAAGUUAUACACGAUUUUUUUAGACAAUACUAAAGCAAGUUGUAAUCAAGAACACUUGAGGUGUGCGCCAAUUGCCACAUUUAGAUAUAAUCAUUAUAAUUUUGGUCAUCCUAUAUGUGUGCAUUCAUCUAUGCAUUCUAGGAUUUCAAUUAGUCUCAAUCUUGUAGUAUUUGUUCCUUCAUUGUCAAAUCACUUCUCAUCUAACUACUAUGCUUUUUUAACCAUCAGAACGUAACUCCAACAGUAUCCAUUUAUAAAGGUUUUGAUAGCAAACUUUACAUAUUCAUAUCAUGUUAAGGUUGUCACAUGUGUAAAGGUGAAGAGAUCAUGCAUGUCAUUCCACGUAGAUGAAAAGAAUUCCUAUAUAAAAUGACACCUUUUCUUGUAGGUAGUGGAAAGUAUCUUUCCAGCAAAGACCAUAUAAUCCAAUAAAGUUGAUAACUAAAUGUCGAAAUAGAGUAGAUGCCAUAUCAUUUAUACCUUAUCUGUUGUUUGGAAAAAAAGACUAAAUCCAAAAUAUAUAUGACAUCUCACUUGUAUAAAUAGCUCCCAAAUCAGCAGUUAACCAUCACCCAUAAUAUUUUGAACAUUUAGAAACACACACCUAGCGAAGCGCACUAGCAACGACCUAACAACAAUGGCUACCAAGAUAUUAGCCCUUCUUGCGCUUCUUGCCCUUUUUGUGAGCGCAACAAAUGCGUUCAUUAUUUCACAAUGCUCACUUGCUCCUAGUGCCAUUAUUCCACAAUUCCUCCCACCAGUUACUUCAAUGGGCUUCGAACACCCAGCUGUGCAUGCCUACAGGCUACAACAAGCGCUUGCGGCGAGCGUCUUACAACAACCAAUUGCCCAAUUACAGCAACAAUCCUUGGCACAUCUAACAAUACAAACCAUCGCAACGCAACAGCAACAACAGUUCCUACCAGCACUGAGCCACCUAGCCAUGGUGAACCCUGCCGCCUACUUGCAACAGCAACUGCUUGCAUCCAACCCACUUGCUCUGGCAAACGUAGUUGCACACCAGCAACAACAACAGCUGCAACAGUUUCUGCCAGCGCUCAGUCAACUAGCCAUGGUGAACCCUGCCGCCUACCUACAACAGCAACAACUGCUUUCAUCUACCCCGCUCGUUCUGGCCAAUGCACCUACAUACCUGCAACAACAAUUGUUGCAAUAGAAUCUACCAGCUCUGACUCAGCUAGCUAUGGCAAACCCUGCUGCCUACUUGCAACAGCUGCUUCCAUUCAACCAACUGAUUGUGUCGAACUCUGUUGCGUACCUACAACAACGACAAUAGUUACUUAAUCCACUAGCAGUGGCUACCCCAUUGGUCGCUGCCUUCCUACAGCAGCAACAAUUGCUGCCAUACAACCAGUUCUCUUUGAUGAACCCUGUCUUGUCGAGGCAGCAACCCAUCGUUGGAGGUGCCAUCUUUUAGAUUACAUAUGAGAUGUACUUGAUAAUGGCGCCCUCAUACCGGCAUGUGUUUCCUAGAAAUAAUCAAUAUAUUCAUUGAGAUUUAUCUCGAUAUAUUUCUGAACUAUGUUCAUUAUAUAAAUAAUUGAAAACAUCAAAUCAUAAUUAUAAACUCAUGCUUGGUCAAUACAUAGACAAUGCGAUAUUACUUCAACAUCCCAAUGAUGUCCUAGCCCAACCUCUUGAAUGUUACUGUUUUAAUGCGUGAGGGUAUAUUUAUAAGAUACACGUCACUAUUUGCGCUUUUUUUAGUACAUACAUAUUUUGUAUGUUGAUAUGAUAUAGUUAUGGACACAUGCUUUGACCAUGAAUAUUCAAAUCAGUUGUACUUGCACGAAGCAAAACAUAAUAUAAUUUAGGAGUACACUUAUAACUGUGUCCAAACAUGCUCACACAAAUUCAUACCACAUUAUAUUUUUUGGUAAAUAUUCCACACAUGUAUUUUUUACAAGAACCCAAAUUUUGCAGACAAAUGCAGCAUUAUAGACAUGUAGAAUUAUUUGAAGCCCGUGAACGUAACAACACCAAGGUCAUUAAAUCAACUGGACCCUAUGAGUAACAAUUUCGAUAUUGCAAACACCAAAUUAUAGAACUUAUUGGCUGAAAAAUUAUGAGCAAUGUGAAGUUUUAAUUAUUAUGCCAUAAAUAUAUCAAAUUAUUUUUUUGAGGAACGUAAAAAUUGCAUGGAAUGGGCUGCAUAACGUGCUAGCUCACUUCUAUGCUAGGUAGCAUUACCAAAGAUUGGAAUGUUGCUGAUGAACACCAAACCCACUCAAAUAAUAUUUAUAUUUGGGUUGUUUAGUUGUAAAAGUGAAGACCCAAGAUAAAAGUACCAAUUGUCCAAUGACAUUCGAUUAUUUUGUUCGGGGAGCACUUGGUGCGUCAUUUGGACUCGUAUCUUAGUCCAAUAGAUUGCAUUUUCCUUCAAUGUGUAGAAUCCGACAAAGUGCAUGUUCUAAAAUUGUAAAUCUAACUAAAUUAGAAAGCUUGUUACUAAUUUGAUGGUUAAUUAGGUGUAGCUCAUAAAACUAGAACCAACAUAGUUUGCACUCACAUGUUAUAGAAAAUAGGAGUAUCCAAGCACAAUUUGUGUGAGCAUCCAUGACACAAAUUAUAUAUAGACUGAUAUAAUUAAUUCCUUCAAAAAUAAAAAAAGGAAAAAAUAAAGUGUUUUUUGAUAAUGCAGGAUAUCUCCUUUAGCUAAUGAGGAGUACUAAAAAGAUGUUGCACUUUUGGGUGGCCAGAAUUCCUCAAUCAUAACUUUGACAUAAUUUUAAUCUGGAUCAUAUAUAUAGCAUCAUAUCUUAAUUAUUAAAUUAAUAUGGUUCCAUCAUCGUAUUAUUAAUUCAAUCCGAUAUAACCAUCAGAUCUUAAUUAUUAAAUUAAUCUGGAGCGUACAUUAGAUUAUCAAACCAAAUCAACCCGACAUAACCAUCGAAUGUUCCGCUAUGCACCUUAAGCGCAUGGUAUGGGGCUUAAUCAUCCGGAAUAACCAUCCAAUCUUCUGGUAAGCAUAGUAAGCGUAUGGUUCACGGCUUCGUCAUCCGGAAUAACCAUCAGAUUUUCUGGUGUGUACUGAAAGCAAAUGAUCCAGGGUUUUGGUACGUGAAACAUUGUUAGGUGAAUGCAGAUGCUGGCUACUGUUGCACAUGCGAACUGCUGUGUGGAAGCUGUUGGGUCCUCCUCUAUUAUGCGUGGCUUGUGGCGGGCUUGGACUGCUCUCAUGGCCUCACCAGCUGCAACGACCAGAGCGGUACCCCUUACUAAAGUAUGAAGACACGGAGCCUGUACGACGUUCUCUAGCCACACGGUGAACAACACCCAACCCCACCACAUGGGCGGCUUAGGGGGCACCACGUGGCGAGAAAAGAUGAUACAUCGCAGGAUGUAUCAGUUGGACCGGACCACCGCAAGAAAGCAUCGGACCCCUGUACGCAAAACCCGGAUCCCCGAUUAUGGUCCGGGACUCCCAAGCAAGCAUGUCGGGUCCCUUGGAUGGGGUCCAGAUCCCUCCGAGUAAGGUCCGGGCCACAACGAGGUCCCAUAACAGGGGAGACCCUGGCAUAAGCAAGGGUCCGAUACUGACACGUGUCCAGGCCUUAUCCUGUGCGCUUGCGCUCCCCGCUCAGGCGGAGACCCGAUGCUGCCACGUGGCUUGUUGCCCAUGACAUAAGCCAGCGGGCGGAGCCUGACGUAAGGCCUCUAGGCCGCGCGGUCUCUGCAUUUAUUGAGGAGAGGACGCGCCGCCUGUCCACCCUGCUGACAGGCAAAGUGCCCCCUCAGCAUUUAAUGCGUCCUGUCCACUCCGCAGGCAGGAGGCGCCAGGGCCAUCUUGCAGACGGUGCACCUGUCCAGUCCAUUGUCAAACAGUGCGCCCGUGCUGCGCGGCGCACUAUGCUCAUCAUCCCUUAUACGAGAAGCUUCCCCUGCACGCCGAUGCUACGCAGAUCUCGGAUGUCAGGGUGCAAGAAGAUUGCUCCAGCAACAAACAUUAGUAGCUCCAAGUACUACAUCCGUUAUGUUCCUGUGCCCACAUGUAGGGGCUCAGUGCUCUUGUACAUGCCCCCCUUAGCUAUAAAAGGGGAGGCAUGCAACGUUACGGAGGGGCUCUCUUGGACAAAAAACUGAGACUCUCAGCUCUCAAGCCUCCACAGCAAUCCAACACACACUGGAGUAGGGUAUUACACUCCGGCGGCCCGAACCACUCUAAAUCCUCACGUGUUCGUGUGCUCGGUGAUCGCUUAGCAAGACAGGUAAAACGCUUAAGCCCCUUCCUCAUCUUAGGAUUUAGGGCGGGUGCAUUCCACCACCCAGCCAGAGAAUUCCCUCUCCGACAUUUGGCACGCCAGGUAGGGGCCUAGGCAUUAGGUUUUUGCUUGUUUCUGUCACACCCUGGUUUCGGGUCACCAAGACCCGGGCGCGAACAUAAUCACCAGGUGUGCUGGGACCAAGUCUCACACAUAUGAUGAAUCAUGGCACAGGAUCGAAUGUCACAUCUUUACUACAUAACAGGAGUUUUAUACAAAAUAAAUAAUUACAUUAUAAGGAGACAACGGUCCAGCAACCCAAAGUUGACUGGCAGGCGACGGCCUAGACCUCUCACGAACUCGUCACAGCAUCCUCCAAGCGCCUCAUCCUGCGGUACCUGUUCUUGACCUGUGGGGGGGUGUGAGACAGCAAGAGUGAGCUCACAUACGUUCAUCGCUCAACAAGUUGUGGGGAAUAAUGUGCAUGAACUCGCCAAAGGUGGGAGCUCAUGUGAAGUGUAAGGCUUACCAAAGAGGAUGGUUAGAGCUGAGCAUUGCUUUUAAAGUUGGUCAAAAUUUUAUUAGCAGUUACUAAGUAUAAGUAAAUACCAACCCAAUUAAGUAGUAGAACAACAGUAACAACAUCACCUGCGAUGCAAUGCAUAUGACAAAUUGAAUUUAGUUCCAUAAAUUAAUCAUGUGAGUGUCCGAGCUGCUCAUGACCGUGAGCACGGCUAGUAUACCAGUUUUACACUCUGCAGAGGUUGCGCAUCUUUACCCACAAGUCAUGUUACCCAUCUGCCAAGAGACGGCCAAUCCCAUACACCUCUACCGAGGAGGCGAGGCAGGGUAAUACUACGAGGCCUUUACAAAGUUCCACUAGCUUCAGAAAACCCGCUACAGUUUAUAGGAAGCUCCAGUGCAGGAGUCCCUCGACUGACCACCAUCGCAGCAAAAUCAACCAAGGACCUCCCUACACUGACCACUCCCCUACCGCCCUUGCCCCUUUCAGGUAAGGUAAUCAUCCACUAGCUUUCCUAGUUAAUCAGCCAAGGGCGUCCAUAAUCCCUUGUGGUAGCACUGUUUUCCCGGGUGGUUCUCCAUGUUCCCAUUAACAUAAUGAUCUUAUCAUGAACAGUAAAUAAUAAACAAAUAAUAAAAGUAUAAUCAUGAAUAGUGUAUCUCCAUACCCAAAACCACAAUAAGCAAUAGCAAGUACUACCCAAGAAUUCAGUGGUAAACAAGGUAUAAAGAUAGUCAAAAUCUAGGGUAACCUAUUGGGUCCCAUCAAAAUUAACCUAUGCAGAUCAUUAUGAUUAAUAAGAACAUGACUGGGUAAAAAGAAGUGAUCAAGGGCACAACUUGCCUGGGACUUGAGAUUCCAGGUACCAACUUGCUCUUCAGGUGACACGUGUCCUCACUGCUAAACGUAGCAAUACAGACAAACAUGUAUAUGAAAAAUUAACAUCACACCAAACAUAAAAAUAAACUGCGUAAUAAUGAUCUACGCGUCGCUACGAGAUCGCAGAAAUAAGAAACACUAAAUUCAGAGCUACGAUUAUUGAGUUAUGAGUUUCCAAAAUUAUUUUAGUGUUUAGAAUAGAUUAAUCCAAAUGAACAAUUUUAAUUCAUGUUUCAUGGCUAAACAGUGUUACUAGUUGAUAGAAAAUAUUGAAACAAAAUUAAUGCAACUGGAACGGGUUAAAAAGGAGUUAAAAUGGAUUUAAUAUGAAUCAAGCAAGUUUCUUGGAUUAUUUUUAUAACAAAGAUCAUUAAUAAAACUAUUUCAUAAACUUUCUGGGAUGGGGCCACUAUUUCUCAUAAGCACAGGGUUAAAUACGCAAAUAAAAGGACCCGGUUAGAAUUAUUUUUGAACCAGCAUGGAUGGCGGGUUAGUUUCUAGUAAGCGCAGGGGCUUAUUAGCAAAAGGGGCGGGCCGAAGGGGUAUCACCCAGUAUCAGCCGUAGGAUAUGAUAUAUGUGGCUCGGAUUAGAUUAGAGCUUCAUCAAAACAGUAUGCGCUAUAGACCGUCGAUCCCGAGACCGACGGUUAGGAUUUUCAUGACGCCACAUCUCACACCAACCGCUCGAUUAGAUCAGACGGUACAGAUAUUCCUGGCCACAGCCUUAUCCACCACCCAAUCGUAGCCGCACGCCAACAAUCCAACGGUUCCAGUGCUUCACAUACCACUGUCUUCACCGGCAGCGGCGCCAGAGCGCAUGCCACGGCGGCGGACAACACCGGAGAGCACCCAAACCUCGCUGAGGGCCCCAAACGAUAUUUCGAGCAGCGUACACAUUCCAGGGAAAGCUACGAAUCUAAAGGGAGAGUUCUCACCAGGAUUUGAGGUCGUGACGUGCCCGGUCGCUGAUGUCGAGCGGAUCCAAGGUGGAGCCCAAUUCCGGUGAGCAAUCACAGGUACACCGGCCAACUCCCCCAUCCGGACAAGUUACCAACUCGUGCGAGUAGCACCUGGUGAUCUGCCCCGGCCAGGGAUUCAACUCACGACGGUGUUUCACAGGUUCCGCGCGCGGCGGCACUUACCCAAGCCCCACGGCGACAACGCUCGAGCUUCAAUGGAGCAGGAGAGAGUUGCGGCGAGGUCCGCAUUUAUACGCAUGGGAAGGUGUCCGUCUCCCAACUACCACGCGAGAUCGCCGGAGGAUCCCAUUACCCGGUCGGCGAAGACCACGGAGGGGAUUUGUGCGGCGGACGCGGGGCUUCGUUGCGAUCCUAGGAGAUUGAUUCGACAAAUGGGACCCACCAGUCGGUGGCUUGGUGACAAGCGCGCGUGGCAAAAGAGACUGGUUCGCGGGCCCCGCAUUUCAGAGACUGAGCGUGGCGGGGAAAAUUGGCAGGAAGGCCGAGGGUGCGCGCUUUAGUGGGCCGAGGGAGGCCGGAGCUGGGCCGAGCCAGGGAGGAAAUCAGACCAUGUGCGUUUUCUACUUUUGUUUUAUUUUUCUUUUAUAAUUUUUGUUUUGUUUCCAAAUCAAAAAUUCAAACUAAAUUCGAAUUCUGGUCUUAAUUUUCAGGUUUCAAACAUCAAACCAAAUUCUAAUUCUUCUAUUACUUGCACUGAAAUUAUUUAUUUAUUAUUCUUAUUUAUUAUUCUCCCUAUUGUUUAAAUAUGGAAGAAAGGAAUGGCUUUAUUAAAAUUUCCUUUCUCCCCUUUGUUUUAUAAUUUUUUUGAGGUCAAUUUAAAUUAUGAUUCCUUGAUUCAAAUAAGAUGCAUCACAGAAAUAACAUCAGCAUGAGGUACACAUUUCUUUAUUUAUUUAUUUGUUCUUUACAUAAUUUAAUGCCAUUAGUUGAGUAUGUAGAGAAAAAAAUAAAAAUAAAAAUCAAGGGAUCCCCAAAACACCCACUUAUUUGUUUAUCUAUUCAUUUUAUUAUUAUUUUGGAAAUAUAUUCAUUUUGGGAGUAGUAACUUCCAAAUUAUGAAUAUCUUUAAGGAAAGGUGUUUUGAUUUAAAACCUUUGGGGAAUUUUUCCUUAUUUUCACAAAAUUGAUCUUUAGGGUGUUACAGUUUCCUCGCUCAGCAUGAUGGUGCAAAUCGUGGAGCACCGCGCCAAGACUUCAACGGAUUUCCUGGUGAAGAAAGAAGCUGUUUCUUCCACGCCACAGGUUCCCAACCGCCCAGUGUCGGGCACUGCUGCUGUGCACGCUGCACGGCAGCAUACGGCUGCACAGACAUCCCGGACUCCGUCGAGGGCGGCUCCGGGAGCAUUGUUAGCAGCCAGGGAAUUGCUGCGUCACCCUCCAAGCUCCACGGCCUCACCGGGGGCCAUGAAGCAGUGGCAGGAUGACGUCAACCGACAGCUCGACAUGGCACAUUCUACCUCGACCAGGUCGAGGCCACAGUCAUCCCAUCGCCAAUAUGAGGCGUCGACGUCUAUGCGCUCACCCUCAGUGAGGGGUGCACAGACCAACGACCUCUGGGUAGAGCUCAACCACAGGCGUGCGGGAGAGGACGCCCGGGUCUCUUUAGAGAGGGCGUGCGAGCGCCGACAAAACAUCGAGGGUCGCAACCUCGAUCAAGACUUCGCUGAGGUAGUACCACAGGCCCCAAUGGGCACCCGGUCCCAAGCGGGUGUCCCCUUGGCCGGCGUAGGUUGCGCCGCUCUCGUGGAUCAUCUCCGCGCGGCAUCAUGGCCAUCAAAGUUUCGGCCACACCUGCCGGAAAAGUACGAUGGUACGUCAAACCCGUCGGAAUUCCUGCAGGUGUACGUCACCGCUAUCACAGCAGCAGGUGGAAACACCGCAAUGAUGGCGACAUAUUUUCAUGUCGCCUUAUCUGGACCUGCUCGGACUUGGCUCAUGAACCUCUCCCCAGGGUCAAUCUACUCCUGGGAAGAACUCUACGCUCGGUUCGUUGCGAACUUCGCCAGCGCUUACCAGCAACACGGUGUGGAGGCCCACCUCCACGCAGUGAGGCAGGAGCCCAGGGAGACUCUCCGGAUGUUCAUCUCCCGCUUCACCAAGGUGCAAGGUACUAUACCUCGCAUUUCCGAUGCUUCCAUCAUCACGGCCUUCCGCCAGGGAGUACGUGAUGAGAAAAUGUUGGAGAAGUUGGCCACGCAUGACGUGGAGAUUGUCCCCACACUCCUCGCUCUGGCCGACAAAUGCGCCAGAGCCGCCGAGGGUCGUGCAUGGCACUUGGCCCCACAGACUGGGGCUACCCAAUCGGGUGGCUCGGGUGCCAUCCCCCGGGACGGUAAGAAGAAAGAGAAGAAGGACCGCGACCACCAGAAGCCGCGGUCCACUGCGCUGGUCGUUGCAGUUGGGACUGGGGGCCGAGGCGACCGCAACAAACGCCCACGACCACAGAGGGGUAACAGCGGCUCAUGCCCUGUGCACCCCAACGGUCGCCACAACACCGUGGAGUGUCGCGAGAUCAUCGACCUCGCAAAACGCGUCAGCGAGCGGCACGAGUAGUCUUCUAAAGACGGCUCCCCACCUCGUCGCCGACCUGGCAAGGAAAGGGUCGACGACGGCGAGGUGGCCACGGCUGAACGGGACCUCGGGUAUCAGUCACUCGAGGGGGACCUGAAGGAUGUCUUCGUCGGAGACUCCCACUCCGGUGGUGACAACUAGAUGGACCCCCAGAUGGACCCCGUGCUCCCCGGUCUACGGGGCCGAAGCCUGCCUUCCUCCGGAAACCCUUCUGGACUCCCCACGGGUCCAGGCUUCUGACAAGUCCAUACAGAAAUGGCUACAGCACGAGGACGAGGACUCCCUCAUCAAACGCAGAUGGGAACCCAGGGUCGAGACCUAGUCCUACGGCAAGUACCAAACCAAGAAGGGCUCCGAAACUCUCCCCCAGCUGGGAAGGACCCUUCAAGGUGACGGGAAUACGCUGACCCGGGGGUGACUAUCUUGUUAUGACUGAAGGAGUGCCUCUUCCUGGUCACUGGAGCAUCUCUGUAAGUUCUAUCCAUAGGAGCAAGUCUGAGGGUCGAGUUUUUCUCCCUUUUGUAACUAGGUAACGCAUACGUGUACGCCAACCCGGUGAGGUCCGCCCUCAUAAGCCCGGCCUGUUGGUCUGCACCCAUGCAUGACAAGUUAUAAAGAAAAGAUUUACCCCCUCAGAUGUGCCUCUAUGAUAGUUUUAUCCUACUGCUCCAUGGUCUUACCUUGUAGUUUUCCGGAUCUUGUUUUAUCUAACCCACCCAAAUAGUUCCCUUUCCAUCGAACAUAAUGACAUCCGAAUUGAACAGCCAGGCUUGCAGUUUAGGACCUCUCUGCGAAAGAAGGAGGGCCCGAUAGCCUGUGGGCUGGUUCUAAAGAAUGGGAGCCCAUUCCAUGGGGUGGUCCGGAGCCUGUGUGGCCGAUUAGCCUGGUCCCGUACCCGAAAGCCUGCACACUCCACCACUCCGUGACGGGUACCCUAGUAUUUGGAGCUAUAAGUCCUAUGGGUCCGGCAACCUGGGGUCCGAAACUAGAGAAUGGACACUUGUCUCCUAGGGUGGUUCGGAGCCCGUGUAGUCGCUCAGCCUGGUUCCGUACCAUGGGCCCGCAUGAUCCACCACUCUGCGAUGGGUGUCCUAGUACCUAGAACCACCAUCCAGGGGGUCCGGACGCACAACUUGGCCUCCCAGACUAGACCCUGCAAGUCCCGAGCAUGUAUCAAAGAAUGGCUAGUGUCAGAUGGCAGGUCCUGUGGGUGUACUACUAAUGCUCCCUAGUCGAAGCUGUGUGCAGGCCCAGGUCCCAGUCGAGGCUACCUCCUGGGGGCCAUUGCCAAAUCUUUCUUAGGUAUGCUGGUCUGCAACCUCGACAAAUCGAGCCUACAUCCUAGGGGGGCAGGUACCAAGGAGGAAUUGGUUACACCACACACAAUAGGGACAAGUGGUACACAGAUAAGUGCUAAUACUGCUUGAUAAAUAGUACUCGAAAGUACCUUAGGAAAAGCAAAAGUAUUACAUCCGCUUUCAAGCGGAGUCCUAGCUCCAUCUCUACUCUGCAGGAAUGGACUACUCUGCACCAGCAGGGUCGCGUUGGAAGCUAGCUCUGGGCAGCCUCACCAACGGCGGCGACCACCUCUACUCCAAGCGGCUCGCCAGCGGAGGCGGCCACCUCUGCACCAACGGCUCGCCAGCGGCGGUGGCCACCUUUGCACCGGUGGCUUGCCGGCGACGGUGGCCACCUCAGCGCGUGCGAAGAGGUCCUCGCCCCCGUCCUCCUACGGGGGUGAGGACAAGACCAUCCAAGAACGCGGCCACCACCUCCACAGCGUAUGACAUCUUGUACAACCCCCCAGGCAGCGUCGGAGCAGUGCGGCCAGCGGCGCAGGGGACACCACGGAUGCGGUGGACCUGCGCACGACGCGACCGUCGCCCGUGCGGUGGACGGAAAGCCAUGCCCCGCUUGGCGGUGGGAGGCAGCGUUGGAGGCGGCACCAAAACCAUCAAAGCCAAAGAGAUGGAGCCGCAGCACGGCUCGCUUCCCACCCCAAAGAGUUGGGGGUGCGUGGGAUGGAGCCGUGGCUCAACCCGCUGUCCACCUUCACGAGGCUGGUGAUCAUCCUUCCCUCCGAAUGCUAGAGGAAGAAGCGGGAAGGAGCGUCGCCUCCACGGACAUCCCGCGGAGGUAGGCGACGAUGGCUGCCUGAAGGAUGAAGCAGGACACCACAGGUAGAGGCUGGGGGCUAAGCCCCUCCAGCAGCUGCACGAAGAAAGAUGGGAUCGGCAGAGCCAACCCGCUGGGGAGUUUGGAAACAAAGAACACAAACUCUUUGACAGCAAGGUCGCCGAGAGGAGAGACACCAGCACAAGUCCUCCCGGCAAAUGCCAGCACACCCCAUCCGAGCGGGUUGCGCGCCAAGUUGAGUGCCACCUCGGGCUGGAAGCGCUCGCAAGGGUCUAGCAAGGCCAUGGUGACUACGGCAACGCGAAGCAGAGACCUUGAAGGAAAAGGGGCACGGAGAGCUCGGAGGCGAAGGGACGCCGUGAGAGGGAGAGAAGCAAGGCAUGGCUGCUAUUCGAGGGAUGAACCCCUCUUUAAAGGCAGGCUCCCCUGCUCCCGCCUCGAAGCGCCGUGAGAAGCCUCCCCCAAUGCACACCGAGGUAUCCAUCCCAUGACACGGGGGCCCAGUCCCACAAGUCAUAUAGCUGGCGCGCUGGCCUUCGAGUGCGAAGAAGGCGAACCGCCGCACAGGAAGCGUGCUACCGCCCCGCGGUAGUACGCCUCCUUCAUCUUCACUACGACCAACGGUCAGGAAGGCGAACCACAGCACAAGGAGCAUGCUACCGCCCCGCGGUAGUGCGCCCCCUCGUCUUUGCUGCAACCUGCGGUCCAACCUCUGGCAUGGGGGCCCAGGCCCACAUGUCACGCACCCGGCGUGCUGGUUUCUGGGUGCAGAGAAGUCGCACCGCCACUCGCACCAAUACCGCGUCUCCUCAGGGCCGUCGCAGAAGACUGAGAAGAUAAAUUUUCAAAACCAAUGCAGCAACUCGAGGCACCCCGUGCAUGGCCCAACAAAGACAUUAAGUGCGGAGGUCACGGGUCAGCCAGCCGCAGGGACAGGCAUGGCAGUCGGCGUGACCAUGGGCGGACCGGCAGUAAUUGCAUCAACGGGCGCGCAGGGGCAGCGAGCCAAUCACCAAUAAAACUUUGGCCCCACCUGCAGGCCCGUAUCCUCCCCUGAGGCGGGCCCAGGGGCCACUGUCGGUACCCUGAAUCAGGAGUACCCCUUACUGAAGUAUGAAGACACGGAGCCCGUACGAUGUUCUCUAGUCGCACGAUGAACAAUACCCGACCCCACCACGUGGGCGGCUCGGGGGCACCACGUGGUGAGAAAAGAUGAUACAUCCCAGGAUGUAUAAGUUGGACCGGACCACCGCAAGAAAGCACCGAACCCCUGUACGCACAACCCGGACCCUCGAUUACGUCCCGGGACUCCCAAGCAAGCAUGUCGGAUCCCUUGGAUGGGGUCCAGAUCCCUCUGAGUAAGGUUCGGGCCACAACGAGGUCCCAGAACAGGGGAGACCCUGGCAUAAGCAAGGGUCUGGUACUGACACGUGUCCAGGCCUUAUCCUGUGCGCUUGCGCUCCCUGCUCAAGCGGAGACCCGAUGCUGCCACGUGGCUUGUUGUCCGUGACAUAAGCCAGCGGGUGGAGCCUGACGUAAGGCCUCUAGGCCGCGCGGUCUCUGCAUUUAUUGCGGAGAGGACGCACCGCCUGUCCACCCUGCUGACAGGCGAUGUGCCCCCUCAGCAUUUAAUGCAUCCUGUCCACUCCGCUGGCAGGCGGCGCUAGGGUCAUCUUGCAGACAGCGCACCUGUCCAGUCCAUUGUCAAACAGUGCGCCCAUGCUGUGCGGCGCACUGUGCUCAUCAUCCCUUAUACGAUAAGCUUCUCCUGCAUGCCGAUGCUACACAGAUCUCGGAUGUCAGGGCGCAAGAAGAUUGCUCCAACAGCAAACAUUAGUAGCUCCAAGUACUACAUCCGUUAUGUUCCUGGGCCCACAUGUCGGGGCUCAGUACCCUUGUACAUGCCCCCUUAGCUAUAAAAGGGGAGGCAUGCAACUUUACGGAGGGGCUCUCUUAGACAAAAAACUGAGACUCUCACCUCUCAAGCCUCCACAGCAAUCCAACACACAGUGGAGUAGGGUAUUACGCUCCGACGGCCCGAACCACUCUAAAUCCUCGCGUGUUCGUGUGCUCGGUGUUCGUGUCCUACCUUUUUCAUAAACUAGUUUUCCCUAAAUUGACAUACUAUAUACAAAAUCUAUCCAAAUUUUGAAGAUCAAAUUUGUUCCAUUUAAUUAUUCAUGACUUAUAUCUUGGUAUUGCUUUUUUGUCAUCAGAAUAUAUUUUGAACACAGUAAAAGUUAUACACGAUUUUUUUAGACAAUACUAAAGUAAGUUGUAAUCAAGAACACUUGACGUGUGAACCAAUUGCCACUUUUAGAUAUAAUCAUUGUAAUUUUGGUCAUCCUAUGUGUGUGCAUUCAUCUAUGCAUUCUAGGAUUUCAAUUAGUCUCAAUCUUGUAGUAUUUGUUCCUUGAUUGUCAAAUCACUUCUCAUCUAACUACUAUGCUUGUUUAACCAUCAGAACAUAACUACAACAAAAUCCAUUUAUAAAGGUUUUGAUAGCAAACUUUACAUAUUCAUAUCAUGUUAAGGUUGUCACAUGUUUAAAGGUGAAGAGAUCAUGCAUGUCAUUCCACGUAGAUGAAAAGAAUUCCUAUAUAAAAUGACACAUUUUCUUGUAGGUAGUGGAAAGUAUCUUUCCAGCAAAGACUAUAAUCCGAUAAAGUUGAUAACUAAAUGUCGAAAAAGAGUAGAUGCCAUAUCAUCUAUACCUUAUCUGUUGUUUGGAAAAAAAGACUAACUACAAAAAAUAUAUAUGAGAUCUCACUUGUAUAAAUAGCUCCCAAAUCAGUAGUUAACCAUCACCCAUAAUAUUUUGAACAUUCAGAAACACACCUAGCGAAGCGCACUAGCAACGACAUAACAACAAUGGCUACUAAGAUAUUAUCCCUCCUUGCGCUUCUUGCCCUUUUUGUUAGCGCAACAAAUGCGUUCAUUAUUCCACAAUGCUCACUUGCUCCUAGUGCCAUUAUUCCACAGUUCCUCCCACCAGUUAGUUCAAUGGGCUUCGAACAUCCAGCUGUGCAAGCCUACAGGCUACAACAAGCGCUUGCGGCGAGCGUCUUACAACAACCAAUUGCCCAAUUACAACAACAAUCCUUGGCACAUCUAACAAUACAAACCAUCGCAAUGCAACAGCAACAGCAACAACAGUUCCUACUAGCACUGAGCCACCUAGCCAUGGUGAACCCUGGCGCCGACUUGUAACAACAACUGCUUGCAUCCAACCCACUUGCUCUGGCAAACGCAGUUGCAAACCAGCAACAACAACAGCUGCAACAGUUUCUGCCAGCGCUCAGUCAACUAGCCAUGGUGAACCCUGCCGCCGACCUACAACAGCAACAACUGCUUUCAUCUAGCUCGCUCGCUGUGGCCAAUGCACCUACAUACCUGCAACAACAAUUGUUGCAACAGAUUGUACCAGCUCUGACUCAGCUAGCUGUGGCAAACCCUGCUGCCUACUUGCAACAGCUGCUUCCAUUCAACCAACUGACUGUGUCGAACUCUGCUGCGUACCUACAACAGCGACAGCAGUUACUUAAUCCACUGGCAGUGGCUAACCCAUUGGUCGUUGCCGUCCUACAGCAGCAACAUUUGCUGCCAUACAACCAGUUCUCUUUGAUGAACCCUGUCUUGUCGAGGCAGCAACCCAUCGUUGGAGGUGCCAUCUUUUAGAUUACAUAUGAGAUGUACUCGAUAAUGGUGCCCUCAUACCGGCAUGUGUUUUCUAGAAAUAAUCAAUAUAUUGAUUGAGAUUUAUCUCGAUAUAUUUCUCAACUAUGUUCAUCAUAUAAAUAAUUGAAAACAUCAAAUCGUAAUUAUAAACUCAUCCUUGGUCAAUACAUAGACAAUACGAUAUUACUUCAACAUCCCAAUGAUGUCAUAGCCCAACCUCUUGAAUGUUACUGUUUUAAUGUGUGAGGGUAUAUUUAUAAGAUUGACGUGACUAUUUGUGCUUUUUUUGAGUACAUACAUAUAUGGUAUGUUGAUUUGAUAUAGUGAUGGACACAUGCUUUGACCAUGAAUAUUCAAAUCAGUUGUACUUGCACGAAGCAAAACAUAAUAUAAGUUUAGGAGUAGACUUAUAACUAUGUCCAAACAUGCUCACACAAAUUCAUACCACAUUAUAAUUUUUUGGUAAAUAUUCCACACAUGUAUGUUUUAUAAGAACCCAAAUUUUGCAGACAAAUGCUGAAUUGUAGACAUGUAGAAUUCUUUGAAGCUCGUGAACUUAACAACACCAAGGUCAUUAAAUCAACUCGACCCUAUGAGUAACAAUUUCGAUAUUGCAAACACCAAAUUAUAGAACUUAUUGGCUGAAAAAUUAUGAGCAAUGUGAAGUUUAAAUUAUUAUACCAUAAAUAUAUCAAAGAAUUUUUUUGAGGAACGUAAAAAUUGCAUGGAAUGGGCUGCCCAACGUGCUAGCUCACUUCUAUGCUAGGUAGCAUUACCAAAGAUGGGAAUGUUGCUGAUGAACGCAAAACCCACUCAAAUCAUAUAUAUAUUUGGGAUGUUUAGUUGUAAAAGUGAAGACCUAAGAUAAAAGUACCAAUUGUCCAAUGACAUUCAAUUAUUUUGUUCGGGGAGCACUUUGUGUGUCAUUUGGACUCGUAUCUUAGUCCAAUAGAUUGCAUUUUCCUUCAAUGUGUAGAAUCCGACAAAGUGCUUGUUCCAAAAUUGUAAAUCUAACUAAAUUAUAAAGCUUGUUACUAAUUUGAUGGUUUAUUAGGUGUAGCUCAUAAAACUAGAACCAACAUAGCCUGCACUCACAUGUCAUAGAAAAUAGGAGUAUCCAAGCACAAUUUGUGUGAGCAUACAUGACACAAAUUAUAUAUAGACUGAUAUAAUUAAUUCCUUGAAAAAAGAAAAAGGAAACAAUAAAAUGUUUUUUGAUAUUGCAGGAUAUCUCCUUUAGCUAAUGAGGAGUACUAAAAAGAUGUUGCACUUUUGGGUGGCGAGAAUUCGUCAAUCAUAACUUUGACAUAAUUUUAAUCCGGA